RNAcentral lists this long non-coding RNA (56667 nucleotides) under Vitis vinifera (wine grape). Its description in RNAcentral is "long non-coding RNA (VVIN_LNC006642)". Lineage: Eukaryota; Viridiplantae; Streptophyta; Magnoliopsida; Vitales; Vitaceae. The record is from RNAcentral.
UGACUUUAUUGUUUUCCACAGCUCUAUGAACUUGGAAGGAAGAUAUGGUCAACCAAAGGAGAAGAGCAGGAAACAGCCAAGAAGGAAUUCAUAGAGUGCCUCAAGCUUCUGGAAGGAGAGCUUGGAGAGAAGCCUUACUUCGGCGGUGAAAAAAUUGGGUUUGUGGAUGUGGCUCUGGUGACCUUCUCUUGCUGGUUUCAUGCAUAUGAGAGCUUUGGAAACUUCAGCAUAGAGGCGGAGUGUCCCAAGUUGAUAGCUUGGACCAAGAGGUGCAUGGAAAAGGAGAGCGUGUCGUCUUCUCUGGAAGACCCACACAAGGUCCAUGGCUUUGUUAUGGGGAUGAGAAAGAAGCUUGGCAUAGAAUAACUAUUUUGUAGUGUUGCUGUGGUAAUAUUAGAUAUAUGUGAGUGUUUGGCUGUUUGCUUAAGUUUUUGCUUUGAAAUUGUAUGGUUACUAUUUGCAGUUGAAACCCCUUUUGGAGGGUUGGUGGGUUUGCUGGAAAGAAAUGUUUUGAAUUUGUUUUCAUUUGUUUUGGACUGGACUAGAGAGGUGUUCUUUGUAUUCCAUCAUUUCGUGUCAUAAACAAGUAUUAACACAAGUUGGAUAAGGCAUGCCUCUGGCCCUUUAUGGUAACGUACAAAGAUAUCAUGGGCCUACAAAGAUAUCAUGGGCUACAGAAUAGGUUAGGGCCCGCUUUUUAAAUCACUUUUUUUAACUAAUAUGUUUGGCAAAAGAUGUUCUUCAAUAAUUUAAUUCAUCUUCCUUGUCGGUCAUUUUAAGUAACAAGAAAAUGAAAAAGAAAUAAGAGAAAAGUUCAAUCACGUUCCAUAAUGUUUGUUUUUGAAAAUUGCUUUUAUGUUAAACAAACAAAAAUAAUUUUUUAAAAUUUUAUAAAAUUUUAUAAAAUAAGGAUGUUUGACAAGUUAUUUUGAAAUUGGUUUUUCUUUUAAAAAAAAAUAAUUUUUCUAUGUUGAUUUUGUAAAAAUAUUCUAAAUUUAAUUAAUAGAAAUUUAAUUGAGGUCUUAUAAAAAAUGAAAUUAGUUUUAAAUUAUAAAUAAAUUAAAAAUAGUAUAAUAUAUCAGCGUGGACCUAUUUUUUUUACGUGCGUCCUCACUCGACGAUGAGACUCGUUUUUUAUUUAUUUGGUGAAAAAUAUGAUUUUUAGAAAAAGAUUUGAAGUCCUCAUUGAUUUUUGUUUUAUUUUUCAAGGGAAAGACAAAAUAAAAAAUAAAAACCCUAAAUAUGAUUUCUGAAGGAAAAAUAGGUUUGUGAAAAAUCGAGUUUGGGUUUGGGGAUCAAGUUACUUAUUAGGAAGGUAUGGUAAUGAGUUAUAACACCCCUCUAAGCUCGUUUAUGUACGACCUCUACUAAAUGAAUUAAGGAAAUUGUGACAAUUAAUUAAUUAAUUAUAGAUACCAAGAAAAAUAAUCAUGUAAAUGAGUAUGUACAAGUCAAGGUGAAAAUUAAUAUACACAAAAAUAAUGAUGAAAUCUAAUUACAAGAAUACACAAAAUAAAUAACAAAAGAAUUAUGCAAAAAUAAUUUAUUGAACUAAAUAAAAAAUAUUAAAAAAAUAGUUUUCAAGAAAUUUCGAAGGAUUUUAUUAAAAAUGAUUUUUAAUUAAUGAUUUUAAUUUUUUUUAUUUACAAAAAAGAAGUUUCAAUUUAUUUUCAAUUAAUGAUUUGAUUCAAUUUCAUUUGUAUUUAAUUUUUUUUAAAAAAAAAGUUAUUUGCACUUAUUAUAUCAAAAGAAUUUAUUACAAAAUUUCAAUUUGGUAAUAAAAAUGAUUUUUACUUGCUUUUACAAAAAAAAUUACAAUUUUAUUUACGAAAGUAUUUCACUUUGUUUUAAUUUGAGAAAAGUGACUUAUACAAAUUAUUAAAAAGAAUAUAACUUUAUUUGCAAAAGAAUUUUUAAUUAAAAAUUAAUUUUUGGGACAACUUUAUUUACAAAAUAAUGUUUGGACAAUUUUUAUUAAACAAAUAAAUUUUUGGACAAUUAUUAUUAAAAAUAAUUUUUCAAAUUCUAUUAAAAACAAUUUUUUUGGAUUUUUCUAAAAGCAUUUUUUUGAAUUUUUAUUAAUAAAAAAAACUUUCUUUUAUUAAAAAGAAUAUUUUAAAAUUAUUAUUUUAUUAGAAUAUAUUUACUAAAUUAUUCCUCUUAUUUAAAUGACAAUUUUGAUUUGUUAAAUAUUUAAUUCUGUAUAUACUCAAUAAAUAUAUACAAACUAAUAUUUACAAGAACUAAUAGAAAUAAAAUCAAACAGAAGUGAGCAAUAAAACGUGUACCCAAAUAAGGUUACAACAAGCUUAAUGUCUCUCUACAACUUUUUUAUUCUUACUUUCUUCCAUGAAAUUUUGUGCUUCACGUGUUAUAAAUUUGUACUCAGCCAAUAGAAUUGCAGAAUAGGCCCAUGCAAAAACAAAAAUAGUUCAAAUGUAAAUAUCCAAAGGUGUACAAAAUCCUUAACAAAUAUUCAAACUCAAAUUCAAAUUUCAAAUUAGUUCGAUAAAUCUUGUCAAUCAAAAUGGACACAAAUUAACAAAUAUAACCUAACAAAAACAUCUCACAUGCUAUAAACCUUAAUCCAAAAAUUUCAAAUUAAUAACCAAAAUACAACACAAUUAGCCAAGCCCAAAAUAUCACAAAAUAAAAUAAAUUCAAUUAGGCCUAAAUUUAAUAUUUCAUAAUCCAAGCCUAAUUUAAUAUACACCAUAAUUGUCCCACAUCCAAAUUAAAUAGUUCAAAUUGGUGAAGCUCAUAUCAAAUAUUCAAGUCAUCAAUCAAAUUUCACCCACAUUGUGGACCCAAAAUCCAUACCUAUAUUAUGGGUCCAAAAUUCAUAUCAAUUAACAAGCCCACAUUAAUAAUACACAUGACCAAAGAAAAUAAUUUCCCAAGCCCAAUCCAAUAAGCCCAAAUAAAUAACAUUAGAUUCAAGUCAAAAUCAAUUACUAUGCAAACAAAAAUAAAAAAAUAAAGAUAAAAAAAUGAAAAUAAAAUAAAGUAAAAAGGAAAUUUACCCUUUUUUUUUAUAACUAUGGGUGGUAGGAUUGCUAGUCGGCAGUGACUGGCAGGUAAUGGCGGGUGGUGGCGGGCAGUGGUUGUCGGUAGUGGUGGGUGGUGGUUGGCCGGUAGUGGCCGUGGAGUGUGGGGAAGGGAAAAGGAAAGAAAAAGGAAGAGAAAAAAAAAUGAAGGAAGAUGGGGAGCGUGUGACAGUGGGGGUUUGUGGAAAAUGGCAGUGUAGAGAGAAGGACUAUGAGAAGAAGAAAAAAAAAAUGGAAGAGAAAAUGGGGACCAUCGUGUGUGAUAGUUGGGGGGAAGAAAAAAAAAAGAAAAAAGGAAGGGAGGAGAUGGGAGAGUUGACCGUGUUUGGUGUGUGGGUCGUGGAGCGGUUGUUGUGUUGGAAGGGAGCCUGAAGAAGAAAUGAUGGAGGAAAAAAAAGUGAAGAGAGGAACGUAGAGAAAGAUGAUAAAAAAAAAAAAAAAAAAAAAAAAACUUGGAGGGGGUAUGGGGAGUGGCUUAGACAUGUAGGAGAAGGAAAUGGGUAAGGGAAGUAGGUGGAGUGGGUAGAAUGAGGGGAAAGAGGAAGAGAGAAGAGAGAAGAGAGUGAAAAUAAAUAAAAUUAAAUUAAAAAUAAAAAUAUAAUAAUAAUAAUAAUAAUAAUAAUAAAUAAAUAAAUAAAUAAAUAAAAAUAAUAAUAAAAAUAAUAAUAAAAAUAAUUUAUAAAAUAAUAAAAACUAAGAAUUAAAGGGUGUAAGUGGGCUAAACAAUUAAGAUGUAAUCAAAAUUUAAAUCUAAGGAUAAAAUUGAGCUCAAUAUCAAUGUAAAAAUAAAAUUAGGACAAAUUUUGGGGUCUACAAUCGGUUUUCAUAUAUUAUUUCUUAUGGUGAUUAGAUCUAUUUACUAGGUUGUAACUUAAAAAAAAAAAAAAAAAACCUAUUAGUAAAUUCAAUGUUACUUGAUUUGAAGUUUAUUCUUUAAUAAAAAAAUUUAUAAAAAUAUAAGUAUGUAUAGAAAAAAAGUAGACUCAUUAAAACCCAAUUUUUAUCCAUAAAUUUUUAAUAUUAACCACUAUUUAAGUUUUAAGUUAUUUAAAAAAAUUACUAAACUCAUUAAUUAAUUUAAUGUAUUAAGUUUUGUUUAAUUUGGAUUUUAUUUGUCUAGUGAAAUAAAUAAAUAAAAAAUAUAGUUUCAUGUAGAAGAGAAACAAUAGAGUCAUUGUAGAUUAGAACUAGAAGUUAUAAAAAAUAUGUAAAAUAUAUAUAAUUAUAUAGCUGGAGUUUAUAUUAUAAAUUAUAAAGUUAAAAAAAAUAUAAAAAACUACCUUCAAUGUAAUUUCUAAUUUCUUUUAAUUAUAAUGUAUAAUCAAAAGUUAGACAAAACAAAAUUGUACACUCAUAAGUUAAAUAAUGAAUAUUUCAUAGCCUCAAAGGUGUAUACAAUUUUACACAUUUUUGUUAUGAUAAAAAUAAUCCAUAGCCAAAAACUAUGAAAGCGAUCAAUUCGUAAUUUUUAUUUUGUUAAUAUUACAUGAUGUUCAUGCAUUUUUUUAAACCAUAUUUAUAAUAAUCCUAUAGCGAUAAAAUAUAACAAAAUCUUAAAUCGUUAUAGUUUUAUUAUAGAAUAUUAACUGGAUAAAUAUUGUUAGAUAAUUUAAUUAAUUUAUUUUAAUAAAUUAAAAUAUUAUUCUAAUAAAAUUAUUUCAAAUAUUAUUCUAAUUUAAAAAUUACUAGACUGUUAAGUCUUGUUUAAUUUUGAGUUCAUUUAUAUAGUAAAAUAAAAUUGGAAAAUAUGAUUUCAUGUAGAAGAAAAAUAAUAGAGUUGUUAUAGACUAAUUUUCAUCCAUAAAUUUUUAAUAUUAAUUACAUCAUUAUUUGAGUUUUAAGUUAUUUCUAGAAAUUACUAAAUUUAUUAAUGAAUUCAACACAUUAAGUUUGGUAUAAUUUUAAGUUUAUUUGUCCAAUGAAACAAAAUUGGAAACAAUAAAGUCAUUCAAGUUCAAUUUUUGUCCAUAAAUUUAUGGUAUUAAUUGGAUCACUAUUUGCAUUGCAAUUUAUUUUUAAGAAUUACUUAGACUUGUUAAUAAAUUCAACGCAUUAAGUCAUACUUGAUUUGGUGAUUAUUUACUAAGUGAAAAAAAUUGUAAAAAUAUGAUUAUAUGCAAAGAAAAAACUAGCCAAGACAUUUAAAUGAAUUUUGGUGUAUGAUAUUCUAAUGUUAGUGAGUUUCAUGACUUUAUAGUACUAACUAAAUCAAUUUUUGACUUUUAAGUUAUUUUUAAAAAUUAGUAAAUUUUAUGUAUAAAGUAUAAUUUGAUUUAGAAUUUAUUUUAUCAAUGAAAAUUUUCUUAAAUUAAAUGAAAUUCAUUAAAACACAUGUAAUUUAAAAGAAUAUUAUAUUUGAAGAUUUUUAGUAUCGGUAUUAGAUCGUAGAAAGAGGUAAAGAAGAAUGAUAUCAUCUUCAAUCUUAUUUGCUUUUUAUAGUUUUUUUAAAUUCCUCUAUAUUUUUCUUUUGCUUUUAAAAAUUGAUGAAAACAAUUUCUACUUGUUUUCUAAAAUAUGUUUUUUAUUUCACUUUAUUUUUAAAAAUUACAAAUAGAAAACAACUAACAAACAAUUUUAUGAAUUUUUAAAAAUAGUUUUUUUUUUAAUUUUUAAAAACAAAAGUUAUUUUUUAAUGAAAUGGCCAAAUGGGCUAAAAACUUUUCAACAGCAAAUUUUGAGAAUUUGGGUCAAGUGCUAUGUGCUCUUGUACAAUCCUCCACUAUUUUUGGCCUUCAUGUCACCGUUGUCAACUUUUACUGUGAAUAAGUUCACGAGCUUAUCUUACUUUAUAUUCGAGAGCAAGGAACAAGAUCUUGAGAGAUGCUUGGUUUGUUUUUUUUUUUGUAUUAAAGAAAUAAAAGAGUAUUCACUUACUAUUCCAUUUUGUACUAAAAAAAUUUGAUAAGACAUUGAUAGGCAUGUAAAUAUUAUAACAUUUAAAUAAACUAAAAAUAUUUUUGUUAUAUUAUUUUAAUUUUAAUUUUUGAACUUUCAUAUUAACGUUCGUUUUAAUUUUUCAUAUGAUUUAAAAUUGAUCAUGGUUCUAACCUUUUACUAGGCUAAAAUCUUUAACUUUUUUAGAUACAUAAAAUAGAAAAUAAAAUAUAUUUUCAUAUAAAUUGUAUUAACAUUUCUUUAAUUAAUUUUUAUAUUUCUUAAAAUACAUAUAUCUUAAAAUACAUAUAUCUUUUUUAAAAAAUAAGUACAUCAUUUAGAAAAAUAGGUACAUCUAAUAUAAAAACAUGUACAUUUCAUUUCAUCGGGGAUUCUUAUCCUCAUUCAACCUAAUUCGGGUGUGGGAUUUCACUUAUGUAGGUCUCAGAAUGCAUUUGAGGUCUUCUUAUACCCUAUUCAACAUGAUAUAACUUUGUGUACAUGUUUUAAAAAAAUGUAUAAAAGUUUAGAAAAGUAUUUACAUCUAAUUUGAGUUGAAUCAUUCCCUUAUUCGACCUAUUUUGAAUCUAAAUUUUAACUUCUAUAUACCUCAUGAUGCAUUCCCAAACCCUAUUUGGCAUGGUAGAACCCUAGGUACAUAUGUUACAAAAAUAAGUAUACUCUUAAGAAAAAGUACAUCUUUUACAAUAAUAACUAUAUUCUUAAAUAUAUAUAUAUAUAUAUAUAUAUAUAUAUACAUUCGUAAGAAAAAUGCAUAUAUUUGAUUUGAGGUUAACCAUGAUCCAAUUCAACCUAAUUUGGAUAUAAGAUUUGACUUAUAUAUGCCUCAAAAUGUAUUUUAUGCCUUCCAAAACUUCAUGUAGCAUGGUAGAAGUAUAGGUUCUGAAAAGGUGAAUCUCAAUAGUGGAAUACACCUAAAGGGGGGUUGAAUAGGUGUUUUGACCAAUUGAACAAAAUCUCAACUCAAAUUAGUAAACCUUAAAACUUCUUGAAUAUUUUUCUUCUCUUCACAAAGUCUAAAAAACAAAUUAUAAAUCACAUGAAUAUAUGAAUGCAACAACACUCCCCAACAAUAUUCAAAUGAAAUUCACAUGCACAUGAUCUAAUACUCCUAAACCCAAAUCAACUUAAAACUAAAUUAUGAUAAAAACAAGAUCAAUAUACAUCAAAAUAUCAAUGAUUAACAAUCAGAAAUGACUUCAAAGAUAAUUCAUAGCCAUUUCUCUUUAUCAUUCAAUCAAAUACUAGACAAUCAAAAUUAUAAUAAAUUGUAGAAACUAAAAAAUGAUGCGAAGAAGAGAAAACGAGACAAUGAGACACCAUAAAUUUACAUGGAAAAUUUUUGAAGAGAUAAAAAACCAUAAGCCUACUACCAAUCAAAAACAUCCACUAUGAAGAAUAAAAACUAAAUACAAGGUUUUACCUAGCUCAAGCCAACUAAUCCUUCCCGGACCACUUGACUAGUACCUUCACUUUUAGUUUCUCACAUUCUUAUUUUAGAGCACAUUUGGAGUCUACACCAAGCUCGAUCUCGACCUCUUAUUGAUUUCACAUAAGAAAAAAAUGGGUUUUUGUGCAAAACCAAGAGAAUUAGAUAUGAAUGUUUCAAAAAUCAACCCAUGCUCAUUUUCAAAAAAUCCAUUUUAAAAAAAUUUCUUAGAAAACUUGGAUGGAUUUUCUUCGUAGGUAAACACCCUUAAAAUGGUGAGGAAAGAAAAAACUCUCUCACAACUAUUGUAGUCACCACUUAUAGAGAUGGAAGAGAUUUGAUUUUAAAUGAGAAAGAAACCCUUAAUCGAAGGGUUGAAAGUUGAUCUUAAAAAUAGGUUGGUUGGAUCAAUCUGCCUCUACACUUAGAUCAAUCCAAAAACAGGGGAACAAAAGCCUUGUGCUAAUAAUAUUUCUCCUUGUUUUCUUAACUCAUUUAAAGAUGAAAAAACAGGGUUGAUUCAUAUUCAAUCACCACACUCGACUAUAUACCUCAGCCUCUUAGCAAAGUUUUAAUCUUCAAAGGUCAAGUAGUCCGAAGAGGGAUUUGUAAACUGAGUUAGGGGACACUUAGGAAUUUUGUUUGAAAUUACCAACCUAGCUAAACACUCACAAUCUCCUCCUUUGGCAAUUCUGGGACAAAACUCUUUACAAUACGAAUGAGUACAAGUAAGUAAGUCCCACCCAACUCUCAUACAAGGCCACACACUCACUCAAAACCUCACCAAAGGUGCUACAAAUCCUAUAAAUAAAUCUCAAGAAAAAACUUUAGGAGCACUUGCACAUAUUACCAAGACACUUCCAUAAGUUUCGAAUGAAUUGAUACACAAAUAUCCACAUAUAUCCACAAAAUCACAUGUCUAAAGAUAGUUAAUAUGCAUUCAUGAGUUCAAAAACGUGUCAAAUAUCCAUCGAUAUACAAAAAGGGUGAUCAUGAUCAACAUAUCAAAUAUCCAAAGCAACAAAACACAAAGAAACCGUCAUGAUCAACUACAUGUCAUAUCAACAUCCAUGUAAAAUGUAAAAUGUUUCCUAAUUUUUGUCCCAGUAGGAGACAAAAGGUCAUAAUCUCCCAUUUUCUAUCUUAGAAAAAAGACAAAUGAAUGAGAAUUCAAUAGCAUAAUAUCUCACAUCCAAAUCAACAAACAUCCACUUUUCAACAAAAUGUCAAAUACCCAAAAAUCAAAUAUUCACAUAUUACCAAGUAUCCAUAUCAACAUUUCAGAAAAAAAAAAUUAUAGGAUACAAUAAUCUCCUCUUGACUCCCAUCACAAGAUAUAAGAAUCUCUCCCUGAAUCCUAUCACAUGGUUUCAAUUAAAAACUUUCAAAAAAUAUGCUUUAUCACCAUGAAAAUAGAUUUCAAGCAUGAAAAUUUAUGGAAACCACUCAAAAUGAACAACCAAAGCCUAGGAUUAGCAUUCCUAGAAACUAGGAACACUCCAAGGCAAAAAUGAAAUCUCAAACUAUUAAAACUAUUGUGAGAAGACUCCACACACAAAAAAUAAAUAAAUAAAAUCCAAAUGAGACUAAGGGCUGAUUGGAAUUUCCAGAAGUGUAGAUUGUGUUGUGUUGAUUGUGCUGUGAAAAACAUAGUCCUAAGGGUUGAUUGGAAUUUCCAACUGCUGGAACGGAAUCCCAACUACACAAGAUACAAUCUAGUGACGCACAUUGGAGGUCCUAGCCAACACAUACUAUGUAGAAGGCAAUUUCUGACAACACCGACGCACUAAGAAGAGACACACAGACCGACGACAUGAGUUGGACAACACAACAAUUCUAGGCUAUUCGACGAGGCUGUUUGGUGGGAUUGGCUAGACUUGAAACGCUCACCAGAUAGGGAAGUCUGACUAUAAAGGUUUCCAAUGGUAGAGACUUAUGACGGUAGUGGUCGGAAUGAUGAACCGACGAUGAUGGCUAAAGAGAAGCAUAGAGUAGAGAAGUUUCCUUCUUUAGAACAAAAGACCUAGGGCUUUUGAAAGAAAUGAAUUGGGAAAAACUGAUUUAGGGAUUUUGACUUUUUUACUUUUAGUUACGAAAAUACCUCUCAUCCAUUAAACCAUAUGAGCAUAACUAGUUGGGGGCAAAAAUGGAAAUUUUCACAAAUGCAUAAGUGGUAUCGAUUUUAGUGGAUUGAUCUAGCUUUCGAUUGUGCUCUCGAUGAUACACAGUCACAUAGGUUUGAACAUACCAAAUUUGAAAAAAAUGGUUAAGUGUGUGAGAGACAAGUACUAGGUGGUAUCGACCUUGGUGGAUCGAUCUAAGAUUCAUUCAAGGGCUCUCGAUCACUACAUUGUGCACACAAUGGAUCGAUCCACAAAUUCAAUAGAUCGAUCGACACCUAAUUGAAAAAUGACUUAGGCAAAAACUAUUGAAAAAUCACAAGAAAUACACCAAUAGGCUUUCCAAAAACUGAAAAUUGAUUGACCAAAGAUGAGAUACAAUAGGAUGGCAUACUUAUAUUUCAAUUAAUGAGUUAGAGUUGAUUCACAUUGAACAAAAAUGCUUCCAAGAACUUAACAAUGGACAAAAUUAAUAAACAUAGAGAUUGAAGUACUUUCCAAAUUUAUCAAAUGAAUAGGUAAAAAACAAAUGAUUAUCAACACUCUAACAAGGAAGCUUAAGCUAAAAAAAAAAACUCACUCAUGACACCAUAAAACGGUGAAAAUGUUAAAUAAUUUCCACUUAUAAACCUAUAUUCAUUUAUGAGCCAAAAAUCAUUUUCAAGAUACUCUUCCUUUCUAGAGAAAUUCAAGAUAAUGUUCCAAGAAGUCAAUUUGCAUCUCUCUUGGCUAGAUUUCUGUUUAACAUGACCUAAUCACAUCCCUUUAAUAAAAUUCAUACACUAUUUGCUUUUCAUAUUUAGCAUUGAAAGGAAUACAAAGCUAUAAGUUUUACCUUAAAGAUCAGUUUUUGACUUGAGGAUCUCUAAGGACGCCUUUACAACAUAACAACAUAAGAGAUGUCCCACUUUUGCAAGGGAGGCUUUUUAAUUCUUGAAACACUGCCAAAGAGCCAUAUCCAUUCCGGGAAACUUCAUAUUUUCUUUUUCUUUUCUUUUUCAUUUUUUUUAAAAAUUUAAUUUCAAAGAGAGGACAAACAAUCAAAGAUUGAUAUUCUCAACCUCUCAAGGAUAUUCCAGGUGUCUUUACUCACUCUUUAAUGCUCAUUAAAUGGGUAUAAGUUUACAUUUAGACUUUAAAGAGCAUUAUUCACCAUUUAUGCAAACACAAGGUCUAACAAUGAGCUUUUUCUCACUUAAUAGAAAUGAAGCUAAUCAUUUGUAGUUUAUCUAACCAAAUCAAAAUAGCAAGGAUUCAAUAUCAUGUUUAUCAAACAAGCCAUGGAGAUAAAGACAUCUUGAAGCUUUUAAGAUCAUGAUGAGUUAAUUUAACUUUUAAACAAAAUGAAUAAGCAUGUCACUCUCAUGAACUCAACAAUUGUUGAAAAUUUAUGAAAAAUGGAGAAAAGAUUGAACCAAAACAAAAAGAACAUCAAGUUGAUGAUAUUUGGGAACUUAGGAAGACAACUAGGACUCAAGAAUAUGCAAGAGGAGUCCUAGACAAGUUUUAGAGGCAAUUAAAUAGAGAGUAUAUAAACCUAUGGGGCUCCUAAGUGAUUCAAACCUAGAAAUGUCCAAAGGUUUAGUAACAUUGUUAGCAAUUUGACUUUCUAUAGGGAAAAACUCUAGUGAAACAACCUUGUCUUCUACCAAGUCUUGAAUGCAGUGAUGCUUAAUGUCCACAUGUUUUUAUCUAGAAUGAAGAACACGGUUCUUUAACCUAUCAAUAACAUUGGCAUCAUCAAAUUCCUCCCCAUCAAUCUUAACUUUUACAAUGGGAUGCUCUUUUUCAUUUUGCAACAAUCUAUGUUGUAGCAAGUGAUUAACACAUACAAUUUUAGAACUUCCACACACAAGAGAAGAGGAUGAAGGAGAUUUUUUACUAACAACAUAGCACUUAUCACAAAUUCUCAAGCCCAUCAUCACACAUACAUCAUUCAAGUUAAACACCUUGCAAAAAUUUUGUGAAAAUUUUACAUUGAACUCAUUCCCACACAUUUGGCUUAUUCUAACUAAGUUAGCCUUUAAACCUUCAUAUAAGACCUCUUCAAGAUUAGGAAUUUCGGGGGCACAAAUGGUACCUUUGUCUUUCACCCUAGCCACAUUACCAUAUCUAAAUGUCACAUUUCCUCCAUCAAAUUCAGUGAAUGAAGUGAACAAAGAUUUAUUUCCAGUCAUAUGAUGUGAGCAUCUACUAUCAAGAUUCCAUGAGUGUGACUCACUAGCUCUAAGUACGUUAUGGACAACAAAACACUUCAACUCAUUCAUUUACACCCAAAUUUGUUUAAUAUUUGAGACUUGUCUUUUCAUUCAAAGUGCUUCCUUUCAACUCACCAUUAUGAGGGAUCUUUGACCACUUCUUGGACACUCUCUUAUUCUCAUUCAAUAACCUAUUCUUCAAAGUAUAACAUUCAUUCAUUAGGUUGGUAAAUUUCUUUUGAAAAUUAUCAGACAAUCUUGCAUAACAUCUAUAAAAAAUGUGUCCCAUUUUGCCACAAUGAUUGCAAUGAAACUUGAUUUGAGAAUGAGUUUUCUUAGGAGAUUAUUUUUCACAAGGCUUAACAAAAAUUGUUUUACCACUACUUGGAGUAGUAUUUGCAUCAACAAAUCCUAAGCCUUGUUUAUCAAAAAAUUUACACCCUAAAUUGAUCAACUCAUUAAGUCUCUUAGAGCUAGGAUGUGACUCUUCCUUCUUAAGACUUAACCCAUCCUUGAACAUUUGAUUCACUUUUCAAUACAUAAUAUUUUUUCUUCACUUCCAAAUGUUCAUUUUCAAGAAAUCCAAUUUUGUCAAGCAAAACCUUAUUUUCUCCCUUCAAGACAUCAAUCUCAUUGAUUAGAAUAUUCUUAGAAGCCUUCCACUUGACUUGUUCUUGUUUAAGGCUCAAGCACUCCUUAUACAAAGUCUCAUAUGCCGUGUCAAAACUCAUGUCAUCAUCAUUGGAGUCACUUGACUCAUGACUCACUUAUCACUUAAGACCUCUUUCUUGAGUGGUUUCUCAUUGACACUUGCAACAAAGGCUAUGAAGUUAGUGCAUUUUUCACUUCCAUUGGAUUCUUUUUCACUUGAUUGACAAGAUUCUAUGUUGCUUCAAGUGACUUGCAUGACCUUCUUUCCUUUUUUUCUUUGAGGGACAUUUGGCGGCAUAAUGUCCAUUUCCUCUACAUUUAAAGCACUCAAUCUCCAACUCUUUUUUCACACAUUUCUCCAUAUCCUUCUUUUUUUUCUAAUAGAGUUCCUCCAUUUUUACCAUCAUUUGAUUCUUUCUUGGAUUUUAUGAAUUUCAUGUACUUCUUAAUUUUUUUAGUAAACUUAGUAAGCACACCAUUUGAUAUUUUCUCAUCAUCCUCACUUUCGGAACUUAGGGACUCUUCUUUAAUAGUUUUUAAAGCAAUUCCCUUAGCUUUCCUAGGUGAUACAAGCGUCAUCUCAAAGGUUUGGAGGGAACCUACAAGUUCAUCUAUCUUCAAGGAAUCCACAUCCUUAGACUCUUCAAUGGUGGUAACCUUAGCUCUAAAUCUCUCUCGAAGAGAUCUUAAAAUUUUUCUAACCACCUUAGUGUUAGAGACGGAUUCACCUAGAUUGAAGUUAGAAUUCACUAUAUCCAUCAAUUUUGCAUGAAAUUCUCCAAAAGUUUCAUGGUCAUCCAUCCUAAUGGUCUCAAACCUAGAUGUCAACAUUUGAAGCCUGGACAUUUUUACGACAUUAGUUCCUUCAUGAGUCACUUGGAGGAUAUCCUAAGCCUUCUUUAACCAAAGUGCAUGUGGCAAUCCUAUGAAAUUCAUUCGUACUAAUGGCAUUGAAGAUGGAGUACAUGGCUCUAGCUUUAUUCUCACUUGCUUCAUUUUCACUUCUAUCACAUUCCAAUUUUGGCUUGAUAACAUUUGUUAGUUUACCUUCUCUAUCUAACACCUUAGGUGGAGACUAACCAAAUUCAAUGACAUUCCAAACUUUUUCACUUUGCAUUUUGAGAAAAUAUUGCAUUCUCACUUUCCAAUGAGAAUAAUUUUCACCAGUUAAGAAUGGUGGUCUCCUAAUGGAAGAUCUCUCUUAAUGAGGUUCCAUGAUUGAGAUUUAAGGACCGAAAAUGAUUUUUUCUUUAAAAACCCUCUCUGAUACCAAUUGAAAAGGUGAAUCUCAAUAGUGGAAUACACCUAAAUGGGGGUUGAAUAGGUGUUUUGACCAAUUUAUCAAAAUCUCAACUCAAAUUNNNNNNNNNNNNNNNNNNNNNNNNNNNNNNNNNNNNNNNNNNNNNNNNNNNNNNNNNNNNNNNNNNNNNNNNNNNNNNNNNNNNNNNNNNNNNNNNNNNNAAAAAAUGCACACUCUCUCACAAAGAAUGUAAAUUUUUCAAAAAAAAAAAAAAAAAAAAAACUUUCUUUUAUGGGGGGGCGCGGUGCUAUACAUUCUUAUAUAGGUAUAUAUAUAAAAAUAUAGAGACCUCACAGAGAAUGUGAGGGGUUCCUGUUCCUUGUGGGUCACUUCUAAAUCCUACACACACCCCUAAGAAACACACACACACUUUUUUUAUGGUGAACCACGACAAUAUACAUCCUUAUUUGGAUCUCUCUAUAAACAUAUAGAAGUGUGGGAGUGUGUGAGGCUCUCCCUUAUUUGAGUGGGCGUUUCUAAAACCUAUAUACAAAUUUUUUUACAUAUAGAAAUAUGAGAGGUACACGUCUAUUAUCUUUUCAUACCAUAUCUAUAUCACUCACUCUCUCUCUCACGUUUGUUUUGUGUGUAUAUAUAUAUAUAUAUAUAUAUAUAUAUAUAUAUAUAUAUAUAUAUAUAUAUAUAUAUAUAUAUAUAUAUAUAUAUAUAUAUAUAUAUAUAAAGUAUAUCCUUUUUAGGUUGUGCCUUUGAAUUAUUCCACUUNNNNNNNNNNNNNNNNNNNNNNNNNNNNNNNNNNNNNNNNNNNNNNNNNNNNNNNNNNNNNNNNNNNNNNNNNNNNNNNNNNNNNNNNNNNNNNNNNNNNCAAAGAUGAUUCAUAGUCAUUUCUCUUCAUCAUUCAAUCAAAUAGUAGACAAUCAAAAUUAUAAUAAAUUCUUGAAACUGAAAACUGAUGCUAAGAAGAGAAAGAGAGACAAUGAGACACCAUAAAUUUACAUGAAAAAUCUCCGAAGAGAUAAAAAACCAUGGGCCUAUUACUGAUUGAAAACAUCCACUAUGAAAAAUAAAAUCUGAAUACAAGGUUUUACCUACCUCAAGCCAACCAAUCUUUCCCAAACCACUUGACUAGUACCUUUACUUUCAGCUUCUCACCUUCUUCUUUCGAGGCACACUUGGAGUUUGUACCAAGCUCAAUCUCGACCUCUUCUUGAAUUCAUACAAGAACAAAAUGGGUUUUUGCACAAAACUGAGAGAAUGAGAGAUGAAUGUUUCAGAAAUCAACCCAUGUUCGUUUUUAGAAAAUCCAUUUUUUUAAAAAAAUUAUUGGAAAACUUGGACGGAUUUUCUUCAUAGGUAAACACCCUCCAAAUGGUGAGGAAAGAAAAAACUCUCUCACGGCUACUACAGUCACCACUUCCAGAAAUGAGGGAGAUUUGAUUUUAAAUGAGAGUGAAACCUUAAUCCAAAGGUUGAAAAUCGAUCUAAAAAACAUGUUAGUUGGAUCAAUUUACCCCUAUACCUAGAUUGAUCCAAAAACAGGGGAACAAAAGCCUUGCACCAACAAUAUUUCUCUCAGUUUUCUUUACUCAUUUAAAGAUGAAAAAUAGGGUUGAUUCACAUUCAAUCACCACACACUCAACCACAUACCUUGACCUCUUAGCAAGUCUUAAUCUUCAAAGGUCAAGUAGUUCGAAGAGGGAUUGGUAAACCAAGUUAGGGAACACUUAGGAAUUUUUUUCGGAAUUUCCAACCUAGCUAAACACUCACAGGUUCAUUUUUUUAGAAACAUAUAACACCUUAAGAAAAAUAUGUACAUUUGAUUUCAACUUAACAUGACAGAGUCACACUCAUUUGGGUCUAAGAUUUGACUUAUGUAUGCUACAAAAUGUAAUUAAGAGCUUCCCAAACCUCAUUUGACAUGGUGGAACCCUACCUAAGGUACAUCUUUUACAAAAAUACAUACAUUCUUAACAAAUAUAUAUAUAUAUAUAUAUUUUGAAGAAAAAUACUUACAUUUUUUUCAAGCGAACUGUGUGUUGGCGUCGUAGAUCUAAGGAACGGAAACAAUACGAAUUUAUUUAUUUAUUUUUUUAAAUUGAUCUUUAGGGUUAAAGUGCUAACCUUUAGGUUUGGAUGUUUCAGACCUUAAAUUCCAAGUGUUGAAGAUGACAUUGAAGUUGUUGGAAGUCUCGUAAACCCAUGGUCUUUUGCUUGAUGACUCAACUUUAUUCUUGGCACAUUUUUGAUAGGAAGGAAAGAAAGGUGGAGGCUAGAGCUCUCUUUAUCUCUAAAUGGUGGAAGGAAAAAGUGAUGAAGACUCUAACCCCUAGGGGGUAUUUAUAGGGUUCCUAACUAAGCUUAAGUGACUUGAGCCCACAUGGGCUUGGGUAACUUAAUUUAGGCCAAAAUGGAUCCUAAUUGAUUAAUUAACCCAAUAGGGCCUACUAAUUAAUUAAUUAGCUCAAUCUAGAGACUUUGUUCACUUAUCCUUGUGCAAUCUUGUAUAAUUACCAAAACACCCUUAUGCACAAAAGUAAACCUAUAGUCAAUUCGACCCUCAUAACUAUGCCAAAAAGAUAUAUAAGCUCAGAGCGGGGACCACUAGGAUCCAUAAGAGUACUAACUCCCUCAGGAUCCAAUUAUGAAGUUGAUUCAACAUCUUAUUACAAAGAAUCAACCAAACUCCAAUAUUCUAUGUAAAUAACAACAAGACACUACGUGCUCGGGUCUAUGACCUAGUAUCCAUUGUGUUCAGUCUUCCCAUGAACUGGUGUUUUAGUCUAACAAGGUGAAAGCUAUCAACCUUUCAAGACUCUCUACCAUCCUUGUGUUACAAAUCCUCCUAUUGUAUAUUCAAUUGACAUGUCUUAGCUUUCAAAGAGCUUAUGUCAAGUUCUACUUAAGGAACUAUUAUGACCAUAGUUUCCAUGAACACAUCCCCUUAAGAUCACCCAAGGGGACACAUUGUCUCAAUCCCAUGAGAUAUCAUGGUGUCUAUUGAGAAUGCCUAUUGUUACCGACUUCCAUUAACAGUGACCCAAUCCAUAGGGAAUAUAUGAUCAACUUACGAUCUCACCCAUAGGUAAAAGUCAUUGCUAAUUUUAGUACAAUCUCAAUAUUCUCUCAAGGUUGAGAGAUAACACAAUGAAGUAUCUUGGUGAGGUCAUGACUACUUGAUAGUCUUAAGUCAUGACUCAUCAUAGGUCUUGUCCAACGUGUAAUCAUACACAGUAGUGUACUCACCAUGGGAAACCCAUCCCAAUAACGAAGACCAACCAUCCCUCCAAUUAGGAGGUGGUGCACUACAACCUCUAAUGGGUUGCCUAGACCCAUAAACCGGUUGUGAACAAGUCAAUUAUUUGCAAGGAACCCAUGACUUAAAGAUCUUCUAUGCAACUCCUAAUGCACCUAAGUCAUGUACAAUGCAAAAUAUGUUGACAAGACUUCUCAUAAAAUAUAAUACAUGGAAUAAAGAUAGAUAAAAGUGAAAUGGGAACAUCAUUAAAUAAAUAAGGAAUUUCAAAUUUAAUACACCAUGUUAUGCUUUUAAGAGCUCUAUCUUAAGACUAUAAUCCUAUUUGACCUUAUUUAGGUCUAGGUAUUCACUUAUGGAAGCCUGAGAAUGAAUUAAAGGUCUUUCCUUACCUUGUUAGGCUUUUCUAAACCAUAAGAACAUCCUUAAGAAAAAAUACAUAUAUUUUUAUGGAAAACAUGUACGUUCUUAAAAAAACAAAAUAUGUGCGUUUUUUUUAAAGGAGAUUGUGACCUUAUUUUGCCUUAUUUAGGUUUUAAUAUUAACUUAUGGAAGCCUUGUAAUAAUUUUGAGGCUUCCCAUUCCUCGUUGGUCAUUUUUAAAGUCUACGUACAUCUUUAAGAAAAAUAUGCACAUUCUUAAACAAAGUAUGUAAAUUCUUCAAAAAAAAAAAAAAAAAAAACCUUUUCUUUUAAGGUGGACCAUGGUUCUAUUCAUUCUUAUUUAGGUCUAAAUAUUAAAUUAUAGAAGCCUCAUAAUGAAUUUGAGGUCUUCCUGUUCCUUGUAGGUCAUUUCUAAAUCCUACAUACAUCCUUAAGAAACAUACAUGCAAUUUUUUUAAGGUGAACCAUGACAAUAUACAUCCUUAUUAGGAUCUCAAUAUUAACAUAUGGAAGUGUUGGAAUGUUUGAGGCUUUCCCUUAUUUGAUUGGGCAUUUCUAAAACCUAUGUACAAUUUUUUUAACAUAUGGAAAUAUGAUAGGUACAUGACUAGUAUCUUUUCAUACCAUAUCUAUAGCAUUCAUUCUUACUAUCAUGUUUGUUUUGUGAUUAUAUAUAUAUAUAUAUAUAUAUAUAUAUAUAUAUAUAUAUAUAUAUAUAUAUAUAUAUAUAUAUAUAUAUAUAUAUAUAUAUAUAUAUAUAUAUAUANNNNNNNNNNNNNNNNNNNNNNNNNNNNNNNNNNNNNNNNNNNNNNNNNNNNNNNNNNNNNNNNNNNNNNNNNNNNNNNNNNNNNNNNNNNNNNNNNNNNUCAAAAAAAAAAAAAAAAAAAACCCUUUCUUUUAAGGGGGGGCACGGGUCUAUUCACUCUUAUUUAGGUGUAAAUAUAAAAAUAUAGACGCCUCACAAAGAAUGUGAGGUCUCCCCGUUCCCUGUGGGUCACUUCUAAAUCCCACACACACCCCUAAGAGACACACACGCACUUUUUUUAAGGGGAGCCACGACACUAUACACCCCUAUUUGGGUCUCUCUAUUUACAUAUGGAGGUGUGGGAGUGUGUGAGGCUCUCCCCCAUUUGAGUGGGCGCUUCUAAAACCCAUGUACACUUUUUUUAACACAUGGAAAUAUGAGAGGGACACGUCUAGUGUCUUUUCUCACCCUAUCUAUAGCACUCUCUCUCUCUCUCACGUGUGUUUUGUGUGUAUAUAUAUAUAUAUAUAUAUAUAUAUAUAUAUAUAUAUAUAUAUAUAUAUAUAUAUAUAUAUAUAUAUAUAUAUAUAUAUAUAUAUAUAUAGAUAUAUCCUUUUUAGGUUGUGCCUUUGAAUUAUUCCACUUCUAAUGGUUUGAAUUGUUUUUUCUAUUCUAAUGACUAUAAUUACCAUGGUACCAAGAAUUAUGUUUACCACGACCAUGAUUGUGUCCUUAGCCUUGUUCACGUCCAAGUCCAACUCAAUGUCUAGGAGCUUGGACGGAUGUGACAGUUGCUUCUAGCAAUGACACAUACCUAAUAGUAUGAGGUUGAUGAUUCUUCGGUAGAAGUUCAUUAUUUUGUUUAGCCAUAAGAAGACAUUAAACUAAUUCAAAAUAUUUAGUGAAAUGAUGUUCUUGAUAUCGUUGCCAUAGGAGUACAUUCGAGGCAUGAAAAAUGGUGUUCAUUAUUCUUUAAUGAUUUUUUCUCCAUAUAAAUUGUGAACAACUUUUGAAUAAAGUCGAGUUGUGGUCAUUGACAGACUUGAAAUUUUGUAAUCUCAAGUGCAUCUAAUCAUGAUGUGCUUUUGGAAGGAUUACAAUCUCGUGGUGGCCAUAUCAUUAUGUUAUAUUAUUCCAAAGGAUCAAAGUAUCAUUCCAUUAGAUUAUUUCAAAGGAUGAAAAUUCUUUGAUUGUAAGGAAUUCACCUUUUAUUCCUUCAUCAAUGUGAUAAUGAAGGAAUAUUAAUGCUCUAGUACGAUCUUGUGAGGAUGCCUCAUUUUAUUUUUUAAUGGUCUUUUCAAGAUUCAUAUUGUUUAGGUGAAUUUUAGCAUCUAGAAUCCAUAUAAAUAGUUUGCCUGAAAUAGGGAGUGUAACAAACUCAAACUUGGUAAGAUUUGACAUUAUUUGAAAACUAUAUUUGAAAUAAUUUAAUUGGAAUAAUAUUUCAAUUUACCAAAAUGAAUUAUAAAUAAAUGAAUAAAAUUAUCUAACAAUAUUUUAUCAGGUUAAUAUUCAUUAAUAAAAACAUAACGAUUUAAGAUUUUGUUAUAUUUUAUCUCUAAAGGAUUAUUAUAACUAUGGUAAAAAAAAUGCAUGAACAUCAUGUAGUAUUAACAAAAUAAAAAUUACGAAUUGAUAGCUUACAUAGCUUUUGGCUAUGGAUUAUUUUUAUCAUAACAAAAAUGUGUAAAUUUGUAUAUAUCUUUAGGCUAUGAAAUAUUCAUUAUUUAACUUCUAACUAUACAAUUUUGUUUUGUGUAACAUUUGGUUAUAUCAUUAUAAUUAAAAGAAAUUAGAAAUUACGUGUAAGUCAUUCUUUAUAUUUUUAUAACUUUAUAAUUUCUCAUAUAACCUUUGGCUAUACAAUUGUACAUAUUUUACAUAUUUUUUUAUAACUUCUAGUUGUGAUUUUUUUUCAUAAUUUUUGUCUAUAAAAAAAAUAUUUUCAAGUUUCUUCAUCGAAAAAAGGAUAAAUUAAAUAGAAAAUAAUACAAAAGUAGAAGUUUAUCACAUACCUUUUAGAGGAGAAAAAAGAUAUUUUAUGAGAAUAAGUUUGUCCUUUUAGUGUUUGAAUCUUAUACAAAAACUUAUAAUAAGAGUUUUCUUUUGGAGAGACUAGAAUUAGAGAAGAGAUAGAGUUCUAAAAUAACUUUGAGGUAUCCAUUUCAUUGACCCAAGUUUCCUAUUUAUAAGAGUUUGAAAAAACUAGGAUUAAUUAUAAUAUUUAAUUCUUUAUGGGGAAAAAGUAAAAAAUAAAAAAGGCUUUUAAUCAUUAAUUAAGAGUACUUGCUUAAAUACAAAAUUUCACAAAAAUUUAAACUAAAUUCCUUUAAAAAAGAAUAGAUAACUUGUUUUAAAAAAUAGUUAAACUAUGUUAAUUUUAUAUAAUUUGAGUGAGAAAUAAAUUUAUUAUAAAUUGACAAAGUUGUCAUUCACAAAAAGCAUCAAAUAUAUUUGAUUUUUUUUUUCAUUUUCAUUUUUCAUUUUUUUAAGGAAAAAUCAGAUUUAAAUUUUUUUCAUAAAUUGAUAGCUAAAAGAUAAAUUUACAAAAUUUCAAAUCCCCACAUGUUUCCAUUAUUUUUACCCCAUAAAUUAUCCCAUCCUUAAUAAGAUUGAAUUUUGCAAAUUAUUAUUGAUUACUCAUUCAAAAAUAAAAAUAAAUUACACUAAAAAUCAUAAAAUUUAAAUUAGAAAAAUAUUUAAUAUAAAUUUUAAAAAUUCAGCUUUAUAAAAAAUAAAAAUAAUUAUCAAUUCUAAUAAGAUUUUUUUAAUCAAAAUUCUAAAGCAUAAUUCACAUUCAUCUAAAUAUUUAUUAGAAUUAAUAAUUUUUAAAAAUAUAAAUUAAAAUUUGAUACCCCUUCGGAGAUAAAAUUCCAAAAAUCAAUGAAUUAAUUUAGAAAAGAAUACAUAUUUCAAUCUCAAAUCUUCAAAUCUAAACAUAUACUAACUUAGAAAAGUUCUAAUAGUUUCUAACAAGUCUAAGUGGGUAUUUGGUAAAUCAAUUUAAUAACUUAAUUCAAGUUAUUAAAUAAAUUAAAUAUAGUUGGUAAAAUAAUUUAAUGGUAUGACUUAAAGUAAAAAACAACUUUAAGUAAUAAGUAAAAAUAAUUAAUUUAUUCUUAAAUUCAUGUUUUCAUUUUAUCUUUUUACCCUCAUUUAUCUUAGUUCCACGAUUUAUUUUGCUAUUAUACAACUUCCAUCAUUACUUGAUCUCAUUUACCCUCAUUAUAAUUUAUGGGGGUAAGUAUAUUAAUUUGAUGAUUUAGAAUAAAUUUUAAAUUAAUUUUAUUAAAAAAUCUUAAUAUUUAAAGUAAAAAUUAAGUAAUAAGUUUUAAGUCAAUAACUUCAAUAUAAUUUUACUUAAAAUCAACUUAAGUCAUUGAGUAAUAAUUAUUGAGUUUUACCAAACACCCCAUAAUUAUACUUAUUAUCAUACUACCAAUUUCUUAUCAAUUACAUAAUUAUUUAUUAUAAAAUUUUAAUAUGUUAAUGAAUUAUGAUAUUUAAAUAUUUAAAAAUAUGUUGAUUGCAAACUAAUUUAACAAGAAAUAAAAUAAUAUUAUUUUGUAAAUAUUUUUGUAAUGUAAAAGAUAAGUAAUUUAAUAUUUUUUAACAUUUACUAAUAAUUAAAAUAUAAAAAAUUUAAAUAUUUAACAAUACUUAAUUUAUUCAAAUUUAAAACAAAUUUAGAUCUUAGAUAAAAAUACAAUCACCACUGAAAUUUUAAAUAUUUAAAAUACACAUAAAGUUUAAAUAUUUAUUUAAUUUCAGGAAUCUAAGAACUAAGGAAGGGACCAAUAGUGACUUGUCGAUCUAAAAGUAUGCAAGUUCUAUUUUCUUUUCCCUACAAUAUCAUUUUUUUCCUUGCAACAUCAUUUUUGUGGUGGAAAUUAUGCGGAGGACCAGUGUACUUAAUUGACAGGGCUGGCGAAAGCGAUGACGUGGAAUGAUCAAAGCAAUGAGAUGUCGUGGAAGCAACCAACUAUCGGGACGCUUCUAUAUUUUACCAUGCCAUAACAAAAGUUUCCAUAAUUCGCAAGUUCUGGAGAGAUACGAAACCGAGAUAGAAUAUAAUUUAGAAAGGAAAAUGAAAAUGAAAGCUGAGAUAAGGAAUGAGCAUCACCACCUCCUAGAAGUAUCCAAGGGUUUAACCCACUCUCUGAAAUUUGCUAUAAAUACUCAGCAAUUUCCCGUGUUGUUCAUCAAUACUUAAAAGAGUUUGAAUUUAUCAAUCACAUUAGUAGCAAUGGCAGACGAGAUUAUCGUGUUGGAUUUCCGGCCUAGCAUGUUUGGUAUGAGGGUCAGAGUUGCCCUGGCAGAGAAGGGUCUCAAGUAUGAAUAUAGAGAGGAGGACCUGUGGAACAAGAGCCCUUUGCUUCUUGAGAUGAACCCAGUUCAUAAGAAAAUCCCAGUUCUGAUCCACAAUGGAAAGCCCAUUUGUGAGUCUCUGAUAAUAGUUCAGUGUAUUGAUGAGGUUUGGUACGAUAAAUCUCUGCUUUUGCCCAGUGACCCAUACUAGAGAGCUCAGGCCAGGUUCUGGGCGGACUACAUAGACAAGAAGGUAUGCCUUUGCUGUUGAUUUAAAGCAUUCUUUUCCAUUGAUUCAUGGCGAUUGACUCAGAUUUUGAUUAUGGUGAGGGAUUUGUCCAAAAUGCUGGGUUUCUUCACACGUUCCCUUCUGAUAUUGAGUUUUGUGGGCUUUGGGGUUCCAAACUAGAACUUUUACUGAUUCUCCUUGCUGUUUGUUCAACAAGACUAUACUCUGCAUUUCUGAUAUGGGUUUAAAUUUCUUGUUUAUGUUGAAUACGAAUUCUGUUCGUUCCAUCAGGAAAAACAGAUCUCAAGAAUACCUUUUUUCCCCAAGCAAGGCGAAUACAUAAACCAGAUAUUUAAAGAAAGGUGUUUGGUUUUUUGUUAUCUUGCUGUUCAACAUCUUGCACAACAGUUGUUUUAAUAUAUGUUCUGUUUCUUUGAUCUCUUUCUUCUCAUUUUCUGAAACCCAAUUUGAGGGGAAAAACUUCAGCAAAUGAUACAUUCUUUCAGCUGAUUCUGAUCUUUUUUCUUCCACCGGCACUUCAUUUUAUUCUUAGCAAAUGAUAUUUCUAUGCGGAAGAGUCCUUAAUAAACUUGUCCAACUUUACAGAAUUUGAAACUUGAUGAAAUUCUCCAAAAAAAAUAAUCCUUCUCUCUUUGACUCCAUUAUUUUCCACAGCUCUAUGAACUUGGAAGGAAGAUAUGGUCAACCAAAGGAGAAGAGCAGGAAACAGCCAAGAAGGAAUUCAUAGAGUGCCUUAAGCUUUUGGAAGGAGAGCUUGGAGAGAAGCCUUACUUCGGUGGUGAAAAAAUUGGGUUUGUAGAUGUGGCUCUGGUGACCUUCUCUUGCUGGUUUUAUGCAUACGAGACCUUUGGCAACUUCAGCAUAGAGGCGGAGUGCCCCAAGUUGAUCGCUUGGACCAAGAGGUGCAUGGAAAGGGAGAGCGUGUCGUCUUCUCUUGCAGACCCCCACAAGGUCCAUGGCUUUGUCGUGGUGUUGAGAAAGAAGUUUGGUAUAGAGUAGAAGGGGCACAUGGGUCCUCUCUCGAAGACCCCGCAAGGUCCAUGACUUUGUCACGUGGAUGAGAAAGAAGUUUGGUAUUGAAUAAAAGGGAAAUAUCACGGUCUAUGCUCUAUUGAGUAGUGUUGUAUUGGUAAUGUAAGAGGAGUGUUUGCUUAAGUUUGCUAAGUGAUAUGGGUUUGCUGAGCUAUGUUGUUGGAAAUAAAUGUUUUGAAUUUGUUUUGGACUAGAGACGUGUUCCUGUAUUAAAGAAAUAAAAGUCUUUGACUACAUUUCCAUCGUGUCCACAUGAACAACUAUUAAGACAAAUUGGUUAAGACAUGCCCUAGAUAGAAAUAGAUAGAAGUGAGUCAUGAAAUGCACAUAUCUAACCUGCUCUUAUUACCAUAUUUUUUUUUUUUUAAAAAAAACUUUGAUAUGAGAAGUCAAAGAGCAUGUCGUUGUUGAUUUUUUUUUCUUUUUCACAAGAAUAUAUAUAUAUCUUCCAUAAAAUUAUCUUCAUGAAAAUUUUCUAUUUUCAAUUUUUUUUCUCUAUUCCAUUUUCUCAUAUUUAUUGAUUUUAAUUAUUUAUAGAUGUUUUAAAUAUAAAAUAAUAAUAUAAAAUAAAUAAUUAAUAAGAAAAAUUUUAAUAUAACAAUAAAUAAAUAAAAUGUUGAAAGUAAUAUUAUGGUAGGAAGGAUGUAUCACUCUUUUUUGGUUUAAACUAAGAUAUGUUACCAUCAUUUAUGUGCUAGAUGUCUUAUUAAUGGUGAAAUAACGUGAAUUCAAAGGGUGUUAAUGUAACAUUGAUCAACACAACCCUUGAAAAAAUGAAUACCACUCUUUUAUAAAUAAAAAACACCACUAAAUUGUAUUAAAAGUAUCAUUGUAGUGUGAAUGUUGUACUAUUCUUCUUUGGUUUAAGGUAUGUUUCCAUUUGUUAUGUGCUCAACGUAUUAGGUAAUGAUGAAAUAACGUGAAAUGAGUGAAUGUUAUUAUGCAACAACACCGAUCAACACAACCCUUAGAAAAAGAGGGUACCACUCAUUUAUGAAAAAUCUACUAUGUUAAAAGUACUACUAUGGUGGGAAGAAUGUAUCACUUGUCUUUAAGUUCUACCAUGGUAGGAAAAAUGUAUCACUCUUCUUUGGUUUACGGCGAGGUUUGUUACUAUUCAUUACAUGCUCAACGUCAUAUGUGAUGAGGAAAUAAUGUGAAUUGAGAUGGUGUUAUUUCACUAUAACACUGAUCAACACAAAUCCUUGGAAAAAAGGGUACUACUCUGUAGACAUAAAAAAAAUUAGUGGAUUAAAUUACCACUAAUUUGGUCUUCAAAAUGAAUAAAAAAAAAAAUAUAUAUCCUCUUAUGGAUAAGUUUCCUUAAUCUCCAACUAUAAAAAGGAUAAUAAUAAUAAUAAUAAGAAAAUUAUUAUUAUUAUUAUUAUUAUUAUUAUCUUGUUGAUAAAACCUCUUGGGAGAAGAAAAUUUGCUAAAAUCAAGGAACUAAAUCCCUUGAAUUAAGCAACUAAACUCCGAGAAUUUGAAAUUCAAAUUCCAUAUCUUCACCUAUAAAUAGAGGUGUCUUCUUUCAAGAAAGGAGAUGAAGAAAUUGAGAAAUAAAAAAAAAAUUCAGAAAGGAAAAUCCUAAGGAGAAAAUCCAAAGGCAAUUUUGUACAGGAAAAAAAGGUUUCAUAACAAAAGAAAAAGUUUCAUCAAAUUUCUCUGCAAGUUUGGUAAAUGGUAGAACUGCUAAACGCAUUCUUUGCCAUUUAACGAGUUCAUUCGGGAAUAAGCCACUUGUGACCCUCGAUUGAUCUUUGAAAUCAAGAAAACGUCAUCGUCGUCUUCCAAAGUGUGAUUAAGGCAAAAGAAUUAGGGGGGAAAAUUAUUUUGGAAAGAAUAUUAUUUUGAGAUUUUACCCACAAUAUUUUCAAUUUUAAUAAAUGUUUUGUUCGCAUUAUUUUCCUAUUUAUUUUGUUAAUUUGGUAGGACCAUUUAUGAAAUUUGUGGGUACAAAUUUCUAGCACGCCCAGCGAGACUUCUUUGCCUCUCGUCUCUUUUUAGAAGAUUGAUCUCUACUUCAUUGAUGACACCCAAAAGAACUCAAGUUGUGCAUGUAAACAAGGGCAAUGACAAGAUCAUCAUUGCACAAUCAACACAUGACGCCGCUAUGGGCCCCAUGACUCAUAGCAAAGCAAAAUCAACAUCUUCACUCUCAACAAAACAAAUAAGUGAGUUUGCUUGUUUGCUAAAAUCGGUAAGAACGUGUGAUGAGCACCAGCCACUCAUCACAUUGGUCUCUCUAGGGGCAAAGAGCCAUAGUCCUCGUAGUAGGGGAAAACUCACUUCAACACUACAGGACUUAGGAUAAAUCUCCUAGCUCUGUUAUCGAUUCUAACUCUAGCACCGGCUCAUACUCCGAGUCGCCAGCUGGAAUGUCAAAGGAGGAAAACUACUCCAAUCGUUUCGACUCUUUUACUUCUCCCUUCUCGAUGACUAUGCUGGUAAUGGCAACUGGCACUACAUUUGUAGAGGAACAAUUAGUAGAGAUGGCUCAUGGCAUCGCCAAACUCACCAAAAUGGUUGAGGAGAAGGAUAUGCAAAUAGCCUCCCUCAUAAAUAAGGUUGAGGCACAAGUACAAAAUAUGGGUGAGUCAAGUCAAGGACUCAACCACUUUCUGAAUGUUGCAUCUCUUCUCGAUGAUGCACCACAUGCGUAUAGGACAAUCCAAGUUGAGAGACAAAUGGCGGAAUCUGCCUCAAUGGCAUCAUUAUCUAUCCAACAACUUCAGUACAUGAUAACUAACACCAUUAGAGUGCAGUACAGUGGACCCUUACAGAGUACGCUCAUGUACUCAAAACGUUACACUAAGAGGAUUGAUAACCUACGUAUGCCUGUGGGUUAUCAACCUCCAAAAUUUCAAUCAUUUGCAAAAUUUCAAUCAUUUGAUUGGAAGGGAAAUCCAAAACAAUAUAUUGCCCAUUUCAUUGAAACUUGUAACAAUGCAGGUACAGAUGGUGACUUAUUAGUUAAACAAUUCGUCCGUUUUAUUCGAAGGAAUGCUUUCGAUUGGUACAUAGACCUUACACUUAAGUGUAUCGAUAAUUGAGACCAAAUGGAAUGUGAAUUCCUCAAUAGUUUCUAUAACACCCGACGAACUGUAAGCAUGAUGGAACUUACUAACACUAAGCAAUGGAAAGACAAGCCGAUUAUAAACUAUAUCAAUUAUUGACAUUCCUUAAGCCUUGACUACAAAGAUAGAUUAUCUGAGGUAUUGACCAUGGAAAUGUGCAUACAAGGAAUGCAUUGGGGUCUCCUAUACAUUCUCUAAGGGAUACAACCUCAUACAUUUGAAGAAUUAGCUACCAAAGCACAUGACAUAGAGCUCAACAUAGACAACCAUGGUUCUAAGAAGGACCUUACCAUUGAUCGAUAAAGAGAAAGACAUGAUGGGAAAAUGAGUGACAAGACCUCAAAGAAACCUAUUCAGGAGUCAAUGACAAUAAAUAUAACUCUUGUCAAAAUCUCAGCAAGAGAUAAAAAAAAGGAAGUAAAAGAGGUCAGACUAACCCAGGAAAAUAAGAUGUGUCAAUUCAUCUUGAAGGAAUUAGAGGAGAAGAAGUAUCCUUUUCCUGACUUUGAUGUGCCUAACAUGUUGGAAGACUUGCUCCAAAAAAAGGUUAUUAAGUUACUUGAGUGUAAGCAUCCAAAAAGAAUGGGUCGUGUUAAUGAUCCAAUCUACUAUCAUUACCAUCGAAUUGUUAGUCAUCCUAUGGAGAAAUGUUUCAUUUUAAAAGAUCUCAUAAUGAAACUUGCAAAGCAAAGAAGAAUUCAUUUAGAUCUGGAUGAAGUAGUAGAGUCAAAUCAUGCUAUAGUCACAUUUGAGUCAUUUGAUCCUGUUCCAUUACAUGUUCCACUUAAGAAACUAGGGACAUGUGGCAAUACUAUUCAAUGUGAGUCACCAAAACCAAAGCAAACAUAAGUGUCAUGUUAGGAUAGCCUUCUUCGCCUUUGCUCUGAUAAUAAAUCAAUGUCAUAUGACGAAGAAGGUUGGAUAUUGGUGACACGAAGAAGACUUUGCAAGAAGCAAGGGUCGCAUUCAUACCCUAACCUUCUUAGGAGGGAAUGACAUGAGUGGAAUACUCACCAACAUUUAAAGAAGAAAGAAAAAAAGAAUCUUAAAAGAAAACAAGCGAUUGUACAAAUAGACGACUUUUUGGUCCAGAAACUCAUCACCCCUAUCACCCUAGAGAAAUACUUCCCUCUAGGGUUCUUUGAUAAAAGGGUGGCAGUAUCAACUCAUAUGGUCUCUUGCUAAGAGACUUCAAAAGAAGAGGGGUUAAGUGAAGAUGAGGAAAACAUUCUUGGUGUUGAGUCAAGAAAAACUAAGGAAGAAGAGGGGGUUGUAGCAAGCCUACAACACCUACUCUCACUAUUUAGUAGCCACGAAAUGCUACAACUACCUAAUGAGAUACAAAAUGUGUUGAUUCAAGUACUUAAGGAUCCAACACUCUAUGCCACCAAAAUAAAGGGGGCAAAAAGACUUGAGGAUGAAAGCCACAAUUGUGCCAAAUGUUGUGCAGCCAUCAUUUUUACUAACGAAGACCUUCAGUUAGGGUCAAAACCACAUAAUCGACCCCUGUUUGUUACUAGGUACAUACGGGAACAAAAUAUCACUUGCAUUUUAAUUGAUGAAGGGUUUGGAAUAAAUAUCAUGCCUAAAGCAACAAUGAAAUGACUCAGGAUUGCUACAAAAGAACUAACUCAGAGUCGCCUAAUGAUCUAAGGCUUUAAUCAAGGGGGACAACGAGCUAUUGGUAUGAUUCACCUAGAGCUUGUUACAGGUGAAUUGAGUUCGAACACAUUGUUUCAUGUAAUCAUUGCAAAACAUUUUACAACUUAUUACUCGAGCGACCAUGACUUCAUGAGAAUGGGGUAAUUCUUUCGACACUAUACUAGUGUUUCAAAUUCUAUAGAGGAGGGGUAAAGGUAGUAUAGACUGAUACUAAGCCAUUUACAGAAGUCGAGUCUUAUUUUGUUGAUGCUAAAUUUUACAUAGAAAAUGAUGUUAUGCAGGAAGUCCUUCUUGCGAUUAUUCUCUCCACUGGGAAUGCUAAACUUAAGGAAAAAGUUGAGCUAUGUAAGUUGACAUCAGCAGGGAAAUUUCAUAACAAAUGAUGACUCAAAUAAAAAAAAAAGAGAAAUUUUCAAAAAAAUUGACAUUGGACUUGACAAUUCUCACUACUUUCCUAGUUUUUAGGUACAUCCCAAUAUCUCGACGAAGUGAGGGUCAACCAUUUUUCAUAGAAGACAAAAACAAAGUACAACCCUGAGGAUUGGAAAAUGGGGACCUUUAAGUCUUGAAAGAAGAUACGACCAUUCCUCUUCCAAACUUACAACUUAUCUCUAGGGAUGAAACACAAAAAUCCAACAAAACCUCAAGAGAUCAAACAAAGCAAGAAUUCUUUCCUGGUAAAAGAAUAAAUGAGGAGUUCAACCCUAAGACUUACAAGUUAUUAGCCAAGGCAAGGUAUUACUUCACUUCGUCAUCACGAUUAGGAGAACUUAGCCUCGAGACUACAGGUGAAAAGAUGCAUGACUUUAACGAAACUCAAAAAAAGUUGAAACAACAAGGGUAUGCAGUCAAACCUUCUAGUGCAGGUUUAGGGUUUGUACCUUUUGAGCCUAUCAAAAUUUUAGUUAAGACUAAGAAGACUAAGGCAAGUACACAACAUAUCAUUGUAGAAGACAUGGAGGAGAGUAGUGGGUCUAACUCUCCUUCUCGAAUUUCAAUAUUUGAUCGGAUUGAAGCUCUAAUUACAUGAGCUUCAGUGUUCACUAGGUUGGGCGAUUUUAACCAAGUAUAAUGUAAUUUAGCACAUAUUCCACAAAGGUCAAUACAACGAAGGAUUAAUACUCUACCCAAAAGUCACGACGACAAAAUCCCAAUAAGAAGUAGUGUAGUGAACUAAAUAAGAAUGCAAAAAUAAGAAGUUUAAUCCCAUCAAGGAUGAAACACCAUUCAACUUGGGAAAUUUGUACUAAUGGCUAGUUAAAAUUAAAAUGACAUACCAUCGUGAUCACCAAGCAGUCGGACGAGGGAUGCCCUAAAGAUGUUAAAUAAAGUUUGACACACAGUAACUACCAUAUUACAGUAGAAGUUGACUCUAAUUCAGAGUUUUUAGAAGAUGAACUAUGAGAAGCUCCUCAAGUAUUUGAGGACGGGGGGCAGGCCACUGUAGAUGAGUUAAAAGAGCUCAAUUUAGGUACAAAUGAGGACCCAAGGCCAAUUUAUGUAAGUAUGCUUUUAAGUCCUUCUGAAGAGAAAAGUUAUUUUGAAUUGUUACUCAAUUAUAAAGAUGUCUUUGCAUGGUCGUACAAAGAAAUGUCAGGUCUUGAUCCAAAAGUUGUAGUACAUUAACUCACGGUGAAACAUGGUGUCCGAUUGAUUAAGCAAGCCCAAAGACGAUUUUGACCAGAACUUGUUUCGCAAAUAGAAACGAAAAUUUUCAAAUUGAUUGAAGUUGGUUUUAUUAAGGAGGUAAAGUACCCGACAUGGAUUGCGAACAUUGUUCCAGUGAAGAAAAAGAAUGGGUAGAUCCGUGUCUGUGUAAAUUUUAGAGAUUUAAACAAUGCUUGCCCAAAAGAUGACUUCCCAUUACUAAUUAUUAAGCUUAUGGUUGAUGCAACUACAGGUCAUGGAACUUUAUCCUUCAUGGAUGGAUCAUUGGGGUAUAACCAAAUACAAAUGGUGCCAGGGGAUGAAGAACUUACUGCAUUUUGUACUCUAAAGGGUAUUUACUGUUACAAAGUGAUGCCUUUAAGACUAAAUAAUGCAGAUGCAACGUAUCAACAUGCCAUGCAGAAAAUAUUUGAUGACAUGCUUCAUAAGAAUGUCGAGUGCUAUGUUGAUGAACUGGUGGUCAAGUCUAAGAAGAGAGAAGACCACCUGCAAGAUCUUCGUAUGGUGUUUGACAGGUUAAGAAGGUACCAACUUAUGAACCUACUCAAAUGUGCUUUUGGUGUUACUUCUAGUAAGUUUCUAUUUUAUUGUUCGACACCGUGGCAUUGAAGUGGAUCAAUCUAAGAUCGCAACCAUUCGAGCUAUGCCAGAGCUGAGGAAUCUUUAAGAACUUAGAAGUCUUCAAGGACGUCUUACUUUUAUUCGACGAUUUAUUUCAAAUCUUGUAGGACGAUGUCAAUCCUUCAACCAACUUAUGAAGAAAGAUGUCCCAUUUGUUUGGGACAAAGCUUGUCAUAAUCCCUUUGAGAGAAUAAAAAAGUAUUUGGCUAAUCCACCAAUCUUAGGUGCUCUUAUGGCAGGGAAGCCAUUGAUACUCUACAUUGCCGCACAAAAAUGCUCUCUUGGAGCAUUGUUUGCACAACAAAACGAGGAGAACAAAGAAAAUACAUUGUAUUACUUAAGUCAAACUCUAAUGGGAUCAGAACUAAAUUACUCCCUAAUAGAGAAAACUUGUCUUGCUUUAAUCUUCUCGACAAAAAAGCUAAUACAUUACAUGCAGGCAUACACAGUACACUUAAUAGCACACGUUGAUCCCAUUAAGUAUGUGCUAUCAAAGCCAGUUAUUUCAAGACGAUUAGCAAGAUGGGGGUUGUUACUCACUGAGUAUGAAAUAAUCUACAUUCCUUAAAAGGUAAUCAAAGGACAACGCAGACUUCUUGGCAGAUCAUCCUAUCCUUGCAACAUGAAAAAUUUUAGAUGACUUCCCCGAUGAGGAGAUCUUUUAUGUUGAUGUUUUUCCUUCGUGAAUGAUGUUCAGGUCAGCACGUUAUGAUGGAACAGGUGCAGAUGUUGUAUUUGUCUCACAACAAAGAUAGAUACUACCAUAUUCAUUUGUUCUUAGUGAGAGAUGCUCUAACAACGUUGCUAAAUACCAAGCCUUAAUUAUUGAACUACAAAUAGCGAUUGAAAUGAAAAUCACAAGCUUAGAGAUAUGUGGGGAUUCUAAGUUGGUAAUCAAUCAACUUCUAGCCUUGUAUAAGGUUAAAAGUGAUGACUUAGUUCCUUACUUCCAAUAUGCUACCCAACUGAUGGAAAAGUUUGAGCGAACCUCUUUAGUUCAUAUUCCAUGAAAGAAAACUAAAUGGCAGAUGCUCUAGCUAAUCUAGUUGCAAGUUUGACACUGCUUAAGGACGAGACUAUACACAUCACUCUUUGCCAUAAGUGGGUACUGCCGCCAUUGCCACUAUUACAACAAGAAGAAGUAAACGCUACAUCGGUAUUUACUAUUGACAACGAAGAUUGGCGACAACCAUUAAUUGACUACUUAGAGCAUGUGAAGUUACUUGAUGAACUAAGGCAUUGAACAUAAAUACGACAUUGAGCUCCAUACUUCAUUUACUACAAAGAAACACUUUAUCGAUGCUCAUUCCAUGGAGUACUUCUUCGAUGCCUAGAAGGAGAAGAGACAAAUCAAGCAAUUGAAGAAGCUCAUUCUGAGAUCUAUAGGGCUCACCAAUCAGGGCCAAAACUUCAUUUUCGAAUCAAAAGGAUGGGAUACUAUUGGCCAACUAUGGUUAAGGAUUGUAUGGAAUAUGAAAAGAAGUGUCAAUCAUGCCAAUUCCACUCAAAUUUUAUACACAACCCCUUGAGCCACUCCAUCCUACAAUUGCGUCAUUGUAGACCCUCAAUUUUGUCCCUUUAGCACAUGUCUUUAAGUUCGUUUUCAGUGCUUCAAAAUAGUUCCUUGGUGGCCCAUGGCUACUCAUACCACUUACCUUUUUCUGAGUCACCUCGGAGAUUUUGGUGGAGGAAUUAUUUGAUCCUUUAUUGUGACCCUUGGCAGCCCUAACUUAGACUUAGACUUUUCUUGUUUUUUUUUUUUUUUUUUUAGGAUAGCUUUUAGAUACAUUUGGCCCAUUUGGACAUUUUUAGCGUGACUUGUAUGACUUGCAUGGUUACAUGGCUUUUGGGCUCGACUUUUUGUUUAUUGGUUUAUUUUUAUUUUAUUUCAUUUUAUUUAUUUUUACCGUUUCCUAAUUUAUUUACUUGCUUAUUUAUUCAUUCAAUGAUUUAACUUCAAGAUUUUCAUGUUUUUGCAAGGAAACUUACCAUUGGAGUUUAAGGAAGGUGGGACUCUCCUUGGAAGGUUUUGGAGGGGAAUUUGAAAUUGAGAAGAUUGCUUUUGAUUGGAAGAUUUAAAAAAAGGAAGAAAAGAAGAAAGGAAAUAGGAGAAUUUUCCUUUUUGGAAAGAAAUUUAGGUCUUGAGGGGUGAUAUAUAUAGGUGAGAAAAGGAAAAGAGGGGGAAGGAUUUUUUUUGGGGGUAGAGCACGCGUUGGAGGAUUGGGAGGAGAUUUGAGGAGGUUCUUUUUGGAGCAGCAGGCAUUGGAGGAAAAUUUGUCGGGGAAAAGAACAGAGGAAACGAAAAGAGCAAUUGCAACCAAGGCUGUCCAGGUAUGCACCUCGUUGCUUUUGGAAUUCUGACCUAUGUUUGAUUUUUUUCCACGUGAAUAUUUAAUGGUAUUGUUGAUUUUGUGUGGACGAAAGGGGCCACAAUUUGUUUUGUUGAGAUUGGUUGCUUGCUUGUUUGCCUUGUUUUGGUUUUGAUUGUCAUUGAUGUCUUCGGAAGCAUAUAACUCCAUGCCUGAAUGUGAUCAGAUUCUGUUCUUCAUUUAAAUCAUAUUCUGCAUUUGUCUCUCUGUUUUUAGCCCAUGGAUUAAUAUCUGAAGUGGGGGCUAUCCAUGUUUACUGAUCAACACCUUCUGCCAUUUCCUUCUCCAAGUUUUACUUCAAUUUUUUUUAUCUUUUAUCUGUAUUCUUUUCCUCGCAUGGUGUUCGAACCCUUGCUCUUGUAUUUGGGUAUACGUCGAGGAAUGAUGUAAGUGUCAAUAUGAGGGAUGAACUGUGCAACAAUCCCACUCAAAAAUAAUUGAUUCCGAGGUAUUGUAAUGGAUUGUGGAGACUGGAGGUAACGUCUUAUUGGCAUCAGAUUUGACCUUUCUAAUCCUAUGGGAUUCAAUGGCUCGUACAGAAUCGCAACUCCGGUGUUAUUUGCAAGCAUAGCUAAAUGGGUUAAAGCCAAGCUAAUAUUUUCUCUUGCUUCCGAAUGAUCGCGUUAUCAUUGGCCAACAUCACUUCUACCCUUUCCAAUUUUCCAAGCGCUUCUGACCGUAAGAAUAAUGGUCUCAGAGAAAGCAAUUUGACUUGUAAAACAGAGGGUUUCAGAGAGUGUCAGGAAGGUGAUUGAUUUGGGUAGCACUGAAAAAGGAUGGUUUGAACUAGGGUUUUGAAUCACGCCUUGAGUUAUUAGAGCAGUACGAAGAAUUGCGGGAUACCAGUGAUGGAUUGAUGGGUUCGGUGCCGAUUCUGGGUCGUAUUACAGAUUUGGGGCAGAGACGAUUGGUGAUGGCAAUGGGAUUAAUGCAAAUCAGGGAGAUGCUAUUUUUGAGGAAACGUAGUUCACGGGUUUUAGGAAUGUAGUUUCAGAAUUUUCAGAGAUUCUUGAUGUAUUGUGUUAGAAUAUUCUGAAACAGUUUCAGUAUACCGAAGGAUCCAAUACGGGCUUAGCAAUUACUAUAAGGAACAGAAAGAAGGAAAUUGAUGCGACUUCUGCGAACAAGUAAGUUCCAGAUACUUCGGUUGGAAGAACCUUCUCAAUAAGGUGAUCAAUCAGAGGAGGUAUCUUGCACAGUAGACCUUUCUGAUUCUUUAUGUUAUCAACUUGAUCUUGUCUCUUUUGUCGCAUAUGUCAAUUCUGCUCAUUUAUGGAAUUCAAAAUCCUCAUUGUUGUUGCCUGAAAAAGAAAUUACGGCAAUUGGAGAAGACAAUCAGUCUGACCCUUUUUGUUGAAAAUUUUGUUUUGGAAAGAUUUUCUAUUUAAACCUCCCUGCGGGUACUAUUCGAUGAAGUCUUUGGUAAUAAAUUUCAGGAUGCUAUUGAAUUGAUAAGUAUGUAGCCAGUUGCUUCUAAUUUAGCAGCCUGGAAGAGAAUGCGAGUUGUUGAAUUCAUGCACAUGCGAUAUGCUCUGGAAUCUGUGGUGCUUGCAGUUGGAGCUAUGGAAAGAAGUACAUCUUAUCAUCUACUAUUGGUGAGAGAUAUAUUGUUCUUGCAAUGAAGCACCCUGCUGUCUUCUUAGAUAGCAGGUACAUUGACAAUGGGGAUAAGGAUAAGAAGACUUAUACGUCUUCUUAGAAUAUGGAGGAUUCACUCAAUACAAAAGUCACUCUUUUCGUCUCUGGAAUUGAGAAACCACAGUUUAGAGGAUGGAAUUAAAGUUUUUAUGCCCCAAGUUGCAGUAGCAGUUCUGGUAAUACUCAAACUCAGAGCAUCACGGGGUAUGACAGGAUGGCUGGAAUGGUGAUUGGAAGGCUCCUGGCGUCCAGAGAUUCCCUAAGUAGCAGUGGAAGUUUACUACUGGUGUAGCCAUGAUUGAAGUUACAGCUCCAUGUGUAUAUGCUAUCAAAAGAAGAAGGAUACGAGACUCUGAUUUUCCAUACCACUGGAAUGGGUGGAAGGGCUAUGGAGGAUCUGAUCAGAAGGGGAUUUAUACGAUGUGUUCUGGACAUAACAACAACAGAGGUUGCUGAUUAUGUAGUUGGAGGUGUUAUGGCUUGUGACAAUUCCCACCUUGACGUCAUGAAGAUAAGAAAUUUGUCGGCUUUGUAGCAAACGAACUAAACGAAACAGCAUCAAAGGUAAUGUUGACCCGAAUGAUUAGGCUCAUAUUCAGAAAGACAGAAUUUGAUCCAGACUCGAUUUCCUCUGGUUCUGCUACAAAUAAAGAAGUUGAAUUUCUGGACUGCACAAGGACCUUUUAGUUCUGAUUUUUCUUUAGGUGCCAAUCUUACCACAAUGGAAGAUGUCCAGAAUAGUUUUAAUGCAACGCAACUUAGGCUUUGUGGAAGGUUAAGCAAUGUUGAUGGCUAUAUAAUGCCGAUCAUCUUCCCAAGUGUUAUUCUCUGUGGCUGAGUUGUUUUCUGAAGCUGAAACAUAAAGACCCUCUCAAUAAGGCCGCCUCUAUGAAUCUUGCUCAGCAUGCACUGAUCAGCAAUUUCUGGUGAGAUCUCAGCCAGUUCCAGCUGAUAAGCAGGUGAACCAGGCAGGAAGGACCAAUUGGCAAACACUCUUGGGCUUUCCUGGUGGGCAUGAAACCCAGAAUUGCAAUGGGGUAGUUCAGAAUCUGAAUCUAGUUCGACUUGGAGGUCUGAGUCAGACAUUAUAUAAUUAGGAUGGCAAAGAAGACUCCUUACCUACAGCGGCCCAAAUUUAUUAAGUCGUCCUUUGACACUAAAGAGAUCACCGGUUUGCCCUUGAUAAAUUAAUGUCAUCAUGAGCAGAUUUUGUUCCUAUUCUUUAGCUGAGAAUCAAAUGCAUCACACCAUCGAACAGUUGAAAUCUUUGAGUAGGAGCAGAGAAUGAUGCAGAACAGAGAAAACAAUGACCCAGGUCCAACAGGUCUCAUGAGGUUUGAUGGUGAGAUCCGUUCAGCAAUGUUGGGAAGCAACUGGAAAUAUGGGCCUCAUGCUGCUGCAACUCACUUAGACUACAUGGUUGAGUUUACAGUCACUGUGCCAAUUUUGAGUCUUGCUGGAACAAUGGAUAACUUACCAGCUGGUGAACCAUGGCUGCAGAAACUAAAAGCGGAUUGAGCAGGAUGCAACUACUCUCAUUCCAGGAAACAAAGAACUGAAACCACACGAGUAGGACCCUUUGAACAAAAAUGCUGGUAUCAAUACACAUCCUACGUGCCCAUCUAUUAUUCAAUCCAAUUCUGAAGUCCCAGUCAUGUCACCUAGAAAAAGCAAAGGAGAAAUUCAAAGGGAACCCUUGGGCUUGAAAGGAAAGGUUCUUAGUCUUGGAAAGGUUCAGAAAAGCCGGAAGGUGUAGAAAGAAUUCAAGCAGCCACAGAAGGCUUCCUCCAAGCUGAUAGUACCACCUAGCACAGGUUUCGGUACCUUAACCUAUGGAUAUAGUUUGCUCUUGAGAGCGUUCCAUACAUUCGAAACGGCAUCAAUAAGUCACUACUUUUGGAUCAGCACUUGGAACUGGAUCUUAGUACUGUCAUGCUUGGCUGUUGCUUUUGGUUUUAGAAACAUGAACUGCUUAGGUAACGCAUCUGGCUUGGCAGUUAUAAUUAUAAUGUCAGUCACCACCUGCCUAAUGUCUCUGGUUGCUGUACUGUGCCGACACCAGAAUGUCUCCUCUAUAAUUGGCUCCAUGUUCUUCAUUGGCGUAAUUGAAGCUUUCUAUUUCUCAGCAUGGAUCUCUAAGCCACUCCUGAGCAUGCGUGUAAGAAUGGAUAGCAGGGCAGAUUUUCAGGUUCCUGGUCAGAGUGGAAUAAUGGGACAGCCAAAUGAAGACGAAUUCCCCAUGAACUUCCAAAAAUAGACUUAAUGAUAAGAAGAGAGGUGAAAAAGAAUUCAGUGGCUAUUCGAGAUGACUUUUAUGGAUGAAUUCGGUAGAGAAUUGAAAAGAAUUCAAGUGGUUGCAUAUGUGGGUGAGAUUCAAUAGCGUUAACGGAUACUCUUGAUGGCUGAAAUUUAAAAGAAAUGAUAGACUACAUAAGUGAGGUGAUUGAAUUUUAUAAAUAUGAUUAUGGGUUUUGAAUUACAUCGAGAUCAGCACUUGUUGAGAUUAUCAUAUUUAUGCUGGUAACAUUGCAAUCAUAUACGUUUUCAUCCCAAGAGUUUGAUCAUGCGUCAAAAUAUCUAGAAGCAGAGCAAAUUGAAACCUUUUCAAAAUCAGCAGUGGACAGAUUCUGUCCUAAAACACUUGAAGUUGGAGCAUACUGAGGCAGUUUAGUCUUCUGAAAUCCAUACCUAGUUUCCUGAUGAUUCAAGUUCUUUAUUUGACUUUUCCUUUAUAGAGAAAGCUCCUAGUGGCAUUGACCAGCCAGGAAUUCACCAUAUGCUUCAUCAACAAUAAUGUGCAAUUCAGGAAAAACGAGGUUGGAUGGUCAGAAGAAGACUUUGAAACUAGUUCAGGAUCUCAAUCUAGUGAAUCUGAUUUCUCCAGUUUCAGUCCAGAUGAGCUUCUGCAGUUAAUUGGUGAUGCAUCAGUUAUGGGAAAGGUCCUUCAUCAACUAGCACUUCACCUUUAUAAGAAUCCAUCAUGAUUCUCAGCACUUGCUGUUGUCUAUUUUCUGACAUGUAUUAAGCAAAGAUUGGUCUGAAGAGAGAUAAUACAUCCUCUAUCUAGUACACAGAUUCAGACGCUGAAUUCCGUGAUUAUGUUAGUGAGGUCACGAGGGAAGUGUGUAGGCAUCACUAUGCAAAGUGCCUUGAAGUUGUAUCAAUUCGUUUGCUGGAUAAUCGCCCACAAAUUAGCAAAAAUCAUCUUUCAAAAUAUAUGAAGUAUCCUACGUUUAUAGGAGAGCAAUUGAUCAUUCAACACCAAAUUGUUAUCUUCAGGGAAAUGUUGAUAUGAUUGGAGGUGCAAUAGCAUUGACUUGAGAUAGUCAACAGUAUGUGAUCACAGAGUUAGGAUAUUACAACAAGAAGAGUCCAAUGGGCUUAAAUCUUUUUGACAGAAAUUCUCAUCUAUCUUGGACUUUAAGCUAGCGUCUGAUGAAAAACAUCAGAAUCUUCACCCUAUUCUAUGAUAGAUGCAUGCAUUGCAGUAUGCUCGAGAUCAUUGUAGGCCUUUAUCCGAGAAGAAACAGAAUAGAGUGAACCAGGUGUUGAAUAAAGCCCGUGAUGAUGCUGAAAGUAGUGCCUAGAAGAACUCGUUAGAAAGUAACAAAGGCAAUGUCCUCUUUCCUCUCCUCUGAUGUGCCUUCUCCUGUUUGGAGUAUACCAAUAAUUCGGAAACUGCACUCUUUAUCUGUGACUUUACUUGAUGGAAACAAAGGGCAAGAUGGGAAGCCUCACAAGGAAGAGAAGCCUCAAAGUCUAUAUGAGAAUUUAGAAGAUUCUUUUGCCACAAAGGCAGCAGAAGAAAUAUGCUUGCAACAGAAAGAACUUAGGGUAUUUGAAAUUUCUGGAUUGGUGCUGCUCAAUGAGAAUAUACAGAAAAUCAAUCCAAAUGAACCACUAAAAGAAGAAUGCACUACUCUAGGUGAAGUAUCAUGGUUAGAGAAUCACAGAAACGCGUCUGCAAUAAAACGCUCAGAUUCUCCAAUAGAAAGUGACAGAACCAUGAAGCUGCCAGUAGAGGUGCCUGAGGGAGCUGAGGAACCUGCAGAAGAGUAUGAAAACAACAAAGAACUGAUCAUAGAGAAAGAGAGAGACAUCAAGGAAUUUCCAGCCGUGUCCAUUGAAGUUGAAUAGGUUAAAUAGGAACGGCAUUCUGAGACAAUACUCGCUGAAAAUCCUAGAAUGACAGAUUCUGAAGUGCAGACUAAAAAUGUGAACCUAUAGGAUUGUGGAAGACUUCAGCAAAGACUCUAAAAGAUUUCCCAUCACAAAAGCAAUGGAAGCAGAGAUGCUACAGAAACAGAGUGGUAAAAGGAAAGUGGAUGUCUCUGGUUCGGUAUCUGAAAUAUCAAAAGAAAUUAAUAAGGAGGUCAUAGAAGAUGCCAGCACUUGCUCUAACAAUAUUGAUGCUGCAUCCGAAGAGGGGAAAACAGAAGAGUCAAGCUUGUAGGAAACUCAACUGAAUGACAAAUACAAAAAGAUCAUUAAGACUAGCUCAGAAGAUAAGACACUAUAAGCAAAUACCACAAAUGAAACUAGUCCACAGGCUGAAGAGGUUGACAGCAUGAAGCUUGAAGAAACUUUUGAAUUGAUGUCUCAACUUCCAGUUAAGGCAUGUGAGAACACAAACAAGGAGAGUGAAACAGUGGAAAGGUCGAUUGAUAAUGUGCUGAAGAAACCGAUUAAAUCUUCUGGUAUAGUAUCAGAAUCCCAAGAACAAUGUGCUGAAGAAACUGAUUAGACCCUUAAGCUCUUCUCUAGCAGGGUCUUUGAUAUCAAAUGCCUGUCAGAACCCCCAUUCAGUAAACUGCUUCAAUUUGAGCUCAGGAAUCCAAGGAAGACACGGAUAAGGGAAAGUUGAUUACGCCAGAAUCUGUAUUUCUCAAGAGCAACUCAAGUUUACUGGAACUCUUCACCCUUCAUUGGAAUUCAAUAAAACUUUGAACAACAGAGAGCCACAGAAAAGUACUAAAGGAGGGCAGAAUGUAUUUUGGGAUUCAACAUCAGCAGGAUAGUCUCAAAUCUUAUUCCCAGGCUCCACUCCAUCAUGGCAACCUUGCUAUACACACCCUCUCCUCUAUUUACUUUUGUGAUUGGGAACUUACUAUUUUAAGUUGAAUUUUUGAACCAUUGUUCAACUAAACAUUCCCAGCUUUGAAAAAUCCAUCUUAGGAGCAUCUAGGUAUAAAAUCCCAAUUUUAACAUGCUAUUUGCUGCCAUUUUCCUCCGGGCAUGCACUUUCACUAUUUUAUCCGAUUUUUAACUAUUUUCAUGAUUUUCUCGAUUUUCUCAAGCAUGAACAAACUUCAUGAUUCCAAACAAUGGAAUUAAUAGAAUAAAUUCAUGCAAAAGUAAUCAGGGCAUUGGGGGGAGGCCCGACAUUCAUAAUAUUCUCUUCAAUAGUGUCUUGUUUGAUAUUUGAUUGAUUGUGCUUCCUCUUUGUGGUAUAUAUGAGAUUAUUUUGAAUUAGUUGUUGAGUUAAUUUUGUUUCCCAUAGAGGAUUAUUAACUCGCUAAUCAGGUACGCUCUUUCUACCACCACACUUUCCAAAAUUUCAUGAAUAUGAGACAUAACCAUAUUUGAUGCCAUAAUUGAUUGCUUUGAUGCUUGUUGGAUCGUCUUUGAUGAAAAUACAUAUUAUGUGUCAUAUUUCCAAACUAAUCUCUCAUGUUUUGUGAUAGUGUUUGAGAAGCCGUUCAGGUACGCACUUCGACUCUCUCUUAUGGUUGGUUUUCUUAUUAGGCAUGCAAUAUUUGAAAUCACCUAGCCUACUCAGGUAUCCAUAAUUAACUGAUUAAUGGCCACGCUUCCCUUAACUUAGUCAGUAGAGACCUCUUUAGGGCUUAGAGGGGUGCUACCUCCUAGAGGUACCUUCCCAAUAAGUAACCUGAUCCCCGAACCAAGACUUGGGUUUUCAAAGACACGCUUUUCCAAAAAUUAUGGAGUCAUUUUUUUAGGGUUUUAUUUCUUGUUUUAUUUUCCCUUCAAAAAUAAAAAUAAAAUAAGUGGCGACUCCAACUUUUUCAAAAAUCAAUUUUUCACAAUAAAAAGCGAGUCUCGUCGAUCGAGUGGGGACGCACGUGAAAAAUGCGGGUCCACAGUCAUGGCCAUUUGAUGCAUGGGGACUUGACGUGGUCAGACCCAUUACUCUUAAAUCCUUUGUUGGACAUGCUUACAUAUUGCAGCAACAUAUUAUUUUUCUAAAUGGGCAAAAGUUGUUCCACUUAAAGAAGUGAAUAAAGAAAAUGUAGUGAACUUCAUUCGAAGUAAUAUUAUCUAUCGGUAUAGGGUACCAUGAUAUAUAAUCACUGACAAUGGGAAACCCUUCUAUAGCAAAUUGAUGAUCAAUCUUUGUGAGAGGUUUAGUUUCAAACAACACAAUUCAUCAAUGUACAAUGCACCGACCAAUGGUCUCACAGAAGCAUUCAACAAGACUCUUUGCAACUUAUUGAAGAAAAUUGUUGAUAAUUCAAAGAGGGAUUGACAUGAAUGAGUAGGAGAAGCACUUUAGGCAUAUCAAACAACAUAUCGAACGCCUACACAAGCAACCCUUUAUUCCCUUGUUUAUGGUGUAGAAGUUGUAUUGCCCCUUGAGCGUCAGAUCCUUUCAUUAAGGAUUUCUAUACAUGAAGGACUAACUAAUGAAGAUAAUGCCAAGUUACAUCUUCAAGAGUUAGAAGCACUAGACGAAAAGUGACUCGAAGCCCAACAACACUUAGAGUAUUAUCAAGCACACCUUUCAAAAGCUUUAAAAAAAAAAGGUUUGUCUUCGGUCUUUUCAAGUCGGUGAUCUAGUUCUUGCCAUUCGUAGACCCAUUAUCACCACACAUAAGACUAGGAGUAAAUUUACAUCAAAAUGGGAUGGACCUUAUGUGGUGCAAGAAGUCUACACCAAUGGUGCUUAUAAGAUCGUCACUGAAGACGGAUUAAGAAUUGGCCCUAUCAAUGGAAAAUUCUUAAAGCGUUAUUAUGCUUGAGUCACACUACACCCUUAGCUUGCAUGAGCAUAAAUUAUGUCUGGAGCACCAAAAAAAAAAUAAAAAAAUCCGCUAAGUCGAAAACCUAAAAGGACGCCUUAGGUAAAAAUUAGGACAUAUGCUCACAAGAUUAAAAUUUUCUUUUAGCCUUGGCAAAAGUUAGAGCAUGAAAAAAAAAGGUGCUGCAUUUGACUUGAUCCUCUCUCUUUGAAAGGUAUGUAAGCAACUUGGGGAAACCACCUAAGUUCACUCACUACCAAAAAAAAAAAAAAAGGUCUCAUUUUUAUUAAUAAAUAAAUCUGACUAACAAAUGCUAGACUUUAUUACAUCUUAAUAAAAAAAAAUGAAUGAAAGCAAAAAAAAAAAGGGAGCCAAAACUAAGUAAAAAGGUACAAUGAUCACAUCCACACCAAGCAUGCAAGCUCGUCACGUUGAGUCCUUAAGGCUUCUUGAAGUGUCUCUAAAGUUUUGACAUCAACAUCAGUAAGCACAAGGGUUUGGGCGAUAAUGACAUGUUAUUUCCUCAAACGAGAAACAUCAUUAUGUUUAUUGGCUAUAAUCUCAUCAAUCUCCAAGAUUAAGUUAUGAAUGUGCUCUUUUUGUUUACCUAGUUGCUUAAAUUCCUUCUUAAGUGCUUCCUAUUUAGCAUCGAGAGUAGCUAAGUCUACCUUUAAUGAUUGACGAUGGUUUUCCUAUAUACACUUAGAGUUUAAAGCAUCCACAAUCUGAGAUGCAAUAAUAGCUAAACGUUCGCUUUGUACUUCUAGAGAUAUAUUUAUAGAAUGGGUGCGUCACAUUGCAUUGAGGUGAUCUACACUUUCCAUGUACUUCUCAAUCUGAGACUUUAAUGGUGAAGGGUUCACUCCAAUCUUUGUGAUAACAUUGAAAAGCUCAUCAAUUUUUCCUCUUAAUAAUGGGAGACAUUUAUUUGGAAAUUUUAAUAAUCAUCACCUUAGUGCCUUCUCCUAUCAUAAGUGCUUCUUGGCGUUAGGCAUUAAGGAUGAUUUGUUUGACGUCGAAUGUGUGAAUGGAAGUAGAAGGAGCAACCACGGUAGGACAUGUAGAUUGUUGUUCAGUAAUUAAACCUAUAAAUGCUAAAAUUGUUAAUUCAUCAUAUGUUGUAUCUCUAAUUGUGGUCUUUUGACCUCGAGAUUCAAUCAGAACAUCACUUAAGAUGUUAGUAAUACCUUUAUCACCCAAAUAAGAAUGAGACAAAGGUAAUGGGAUGAUAGAGUGAUUAUCUUGUUGUAUGGUCAAGGUAAAGGGUGCUGACUCCCUAAUAGCAAUAGUACUUUCGAACUGAUCCUUAGGAGAGGACUCAUCCCCUUCAUUGACAAAUUGGUUGUCACCCGCCACCUAAGGCAAAUAAUUAUUUUUGUUAGUAUCAAUGCAAAAAAAAAAAAAAAAAAACCUUUUCACCAUCAAGUUCCAUCGCUUGAGUAGAAGUUAGGACGUCAGCAAAGAAGACAUUUACAUCAAGAUGAUAAGAGUUAGUCUCAUCAUAGUACAUAGGGUUGGGUCUAAUUUUUUUCCAUUUGAAGUAACAUUCACUUGUAUCUUCAAAGUUUUUGUUUGAUACAUAAAGACCCUGUGCAUUGUUAUGUUGCUUAAAAGUCUUGUGACAGUGAGUAUUACCACCGUUGAAAAUAGUUUCCUCAUGCUCUGAGUGUGUGGAGGUAUUAGUUUGAUGUCCACCCAUUGAGCGCUUAGAAGAAGCUCUUGAAUCAUCAGGUAAAUCAUCAAAAUCCUUCUCAACAUUGUCUCUAAUAUUCCCCUUAGUAGAAACACUUAAGUCAACCUUGCGCGUUCUACUCUCUAAAGAUCUAGAGGGUAUUUGCCAAGAAGAAUUAGGAGGGGGCUCCAUACAAGUAGUAGUAAGAAUUUCUUUAUCAGGAUUACGUACUCUGAUCCACCAAUCCGCAUAAGCCAAUCUGGUAUAGUAACUUUGGAGUAGGUACCAAGCCUAGUACAUGACUGCCAAUGUUGAUACACCGCCUUUAAAGUUCUAGUGUGAAAAAUCUCUAGCGAACUCUCCGGAAGGUCUUGAAGAUAUACAAACUGCCUAGAAAACCGAUGAGGAUAAUACAGUUGGAUUACCCAAUGAUUACCUUGUCGCAAAGAUAAAUAGUUAGAGUGAAGACUUAUGAGAUAAGAAGCUUUGGUAACACUAAUAGAUUCAUUAUCAGUCCAGUGCACAUGCCUCUUGUGGCGCAAUGCCAAGUGGUCUAGCUUUACGCCUUUGCAAGACAUUAUCAAAGCCUAAGCUUGCAAAUCAUCAAAACACUUAACAAAAAACUCGCCAGUGUAAUAAGUCAUCCGUGGGGGAUGGCUCCAAGAAGGAGAAAUGAAAUGGGUAUCGAAAUAUUCAUUUAACCAUCCGUAUAAGUAAUGAAUAGGGAAAAUAGAUGCAUUAGUCCCAGGCUUUGAAGAAUAAGUGAUUUUAUUUAAGCUGUUGUAAAUACUUCCUAACACCAAAACAACAAGGCUAAAUGUCUCACCUUGAGCCAUUUUACUAGCUACCUUGAAGACUUUAGGAUGAAUCAAAUUGACACCUCCCAAGGAAGAACGAACUUGUAUAACCAACAUGCUAAGAAAGCGCCUAAGUAUCCUUCACAUCUGCCUCAGCUAUGCCAAGGUUGUAAAAAAUUUCCAUCUCUGACUGAAUACGAGAUUUAAUAGGAUCAAUUUCCCCAGAGGGGUUAUGAGUCUCCUUAGGCCUUUACGCCUUAUUCCUUGUACUUUUAUUUGGAAGUUUUGCAUACUUCAUGGAGCCUUUAUACCAAAAUGACACCCAAGAGGCUAACUUGACUGAAGACUUCCCUUUCGUGUUAGAGCAAAUUCGAUGAUAUGCAAGGAAUAAGUUUUGACAACUUGGUGGGAGUGAGGGCUUUGUCACAUCAUUAGAUAACUCUUCCAUGCUCGGUACCAUCUCAUCAUAAAAAGAUCCAAUGAUGGGUAGUCCAACAAUAUGAUACAAGUCCCAAAGAGAGAUGGAAACCUCUCUAAUGGAAGUAUGCAAGGUGUUAGUGGUAGGACACCAACGUUCACAAAAGGCCCUAAUCACAGAGGCAUGACAAUCAUAGCUGAAUAAGGACGCAAAAAUAGCUUCAUAAAGCUUACAUCCUUUAAGAAAUGGUCCAUGCCGGUCCAAUACCUCCUCUACCCAUUCCCAAUAUCCUUCGAUAAAGAAAUAUUCCCUUAGUACUUUGAAUGAACUUCCCCAUUUAGCUUCUCCGUCAUGAACACAAGAACCAAACUAUCCAAAUUCAUCAUGAACUUUAGUAGUAGUUGGGUGAGAGGAAUUCAACAACAGAACAUCAGAAACAAGUUUCACCUUAUUGAGUUUUGAAUUGCCGAUAUUUGUAAGCUUGCAAGAUGCAACUCGGGACAAGGAAGAAAUGUGUAAUGGGUCCUUUGUCACUGGUACUGACAAAGAUUGAAGGUCAGUAAGUGACUUAUGCACUGACAAGGUAGUCCCCUCCUCAAAAUCUUCACUAUCAUCCUCAAGAAUAGUUACAAUCUUCUAUUUGAAACAUUUGAAGAACGCCAUCCUACAUAAAAAGGAAAAAGAAGGUAGAGAGAGAGAUAAAUAAAACAUGGGUAUAAGUUUUUAGAUACCACUAUGCAUUUAAGUCAGAUCAAUUCACAUGAGUGAAGACCUUAGCACUUAAGUCAUAUAAAGUGUUGAAAGUACAAUACCGCAUAGCAUCAGGGCCAUAACUUGUUUGCAUAGAUACCGAGUAUUAUUCUAGUUUUAAUUAAAUGUUAAAACUUGAACACAACUAUGCAUUCAAGUCAAGACAAUUUGCAUAGGUGAAGACUUUAGCACAUAAGUGUUGAAAAUACAACACCGCAUAACAUUAGGGCCAUAACUUGUCUACAUAGAUAACAAGUAUUAUUAUGGUUUUAAUUAAAUAUUAAAACUUGAACACCACUAUGCAUUCAAGUCAAUCCAAUUUGCAUGGGUGAAGACUUUAGCACAUAAGUGCUAAAAAUACGACACCGCUUCGCGUCAAGGCUACGAAUUGAUUACAUGAGGGUCAAACUUUAAAUAUUCAUAUGUUUUUUUAUUUUUUAUUUUUAUUUAUUUUUUAUUUUUUAUUUUAUGGAUAUUUAAGUUUAUUAAAAAUUUCCCUCAAGUACUAAGGUAAUUUAAAAAUAAAUAAAUAAAUAAAAUUAAAUUACCUGAAAUCAAAUUCGUCUCUACGAAUAAUGGAGGCUAACAUGUGUUCGAAAAAGGUGAAUCUUUUUCUUCCUUGACAAAAAAAAAAUGAAUAAAAAGAUCACGUGUCAACAUAUAUAUAUAUAUAUCCAUCCAUUUUUUCAGGAGAUCACGUGAAUGGAUUUUAUAUAUAUAUACAUAUAUUAAAUCCUCAUCCUUACAUCAAUAUAUAGAUAUAUAGCCUAGUGAUGACGUCUCCCAAGGCAACCAACAUUGAGGCUCUGUCCCCAUUGACUUCGACAUACACCCACCAAGCUCCAAAAUAUAUAUAUGCAUUUAAAAAAAAAAUACUUACAGGUUUGAAGAGGUGAAGACUUCUUACGGUAAUUCAAGUCAAGUUUCUUAAAAUUGGGUUGAAAAUCACCCAAAAAUUCAAAAAAAAUAAAAGAAUAUGAAAGGAUUCAAGUCGGGUUUCUCAAGUUGGGUCAAAGAACACUCAAAGAUCAAAAAAGCUCUUUGAAAAAGUUCAAGUCAAAUUUCUUAGCUAUUGUCCCUUUUAUAUAUAAAAAAAACGUAUAUGGGGAUGACAAAUUGGAAGAUGAUUGAAAGUGUAAAGUAAGAAGGAAAACAAAUUGGAAGAGGAUUCAAAGUGUAAAGCAAAAAAGGAAAACAAAGUGGAGUUUGGAAAAAAGUGGGAAAGAAAUAUUUUUUUUGGAAAAAAAAAAAACUUCAAGACUCACCCCAUCCACAUGACAAUGCAUAUAUGUGAUGCGUCUUGAAGUGGGGGUAUUUGUAGACAUAAAAAAAAUUAGUGGAUUAAAUUACCACUAAUUUUGUUUUCAAAAUGAAUAAAAAAAAUCCUCUUAUGGAUAAGUUUCUCUAAUCUCCAACUAUAGAAAGGAUAAUAAUAACAAUAAAAAAACUAUUAUUAUUAUUAUUAUUAUUAUUAUUAUUAUUAUUAUUAUCUUGUUGGUAAAACCUUCCAGGAUUUUUUUUUUCUAAAAUCAAGGAACUAAAUCCUUUAAAUUAAGCAACUAAACUCUGAGAAUUUGAAAUUCAAAUUUUAUAUCUUCACCUAUAAAUAGAGGUGUCUUUUUUCAAGAAAGGAGGGGAAGAAAUCGAGAAAAAAAAAUCCAGAAAGGAAAAUCUUAAGGAGGAAAUCCAAAGGAAACUUUGUAUGGGAAAAGGGGCUUCACAACAAAAGAAAAAGCUUCAUCAAAUUUCUCUGCAAGUUCGGUACAUGGUAGAACUGCUAAACACGCUCACCGCUAUUUAACGAGUUCAUUAAGGAAUAAGCCACUUGUGGCCCUCAAUUGAUCUUCGAAAUUAAGAAAAUGUCAUCGUUGUUUUCCAAAGUGUGAUCAAGAUGAAAGAAUCAGAGGGAUAAUAUUUUUUUGGAAAUAAUAUUAUUUUUGAGAUUGUACCCACAAUAUUUUUAAUUUUAAUAAAUAUUUUGUUUGCAUUAUUUUCCUAUUUGUUUUGCUAAUUUUGUAGGACCAUUUACGAAAUUUAUGUGUACAUACUCUUUUAUGAACAAGGUAGUGUAGAAAAAGUGUAACACUUUUUUUUUUAACUCAGGUAACUCAAGUAAUAUAUCAUUUCUACCAUAGUGAAUCCAUUCUUCUUCUUUAGCGUAUAAAAAGUGACUCCGUUCUUCUUUAGCACAUUAACUUGAAUACGCAACUCAAGUAAUAUAUCAUUUCUACCAUAGUACUUUUAGCAUUUUAGUGGUAUUUUUUUUCUCAUAAAAAUGUGUACCCUUUGAAUAAGCAACCUUUGAGGUGCACAACUUAAUGUUUUAAGAGGGUGCACUAUUUUUUCCUAGCGCAUUUGAAAUGUGUACAACUUCACUAUGCAAAAAAACAUUAUUUUUUAAUAAAAUUAAGAUCAAAUUAAUAUAAAUGAUUAAAUACAAUUUUUAUGAAAAAAAUAUAUUUUAUUUUUUAUUUAUAUAAAUAAAAAUAAAAAAUUUAAUAAAACAAAAUAUUAGAGCCACAACCAAUUUUCUAUCUUAUAUAAUUAAAAAUAUUAAACAUUUUAACCAAGAAGAAAAUUAAAAUUGUGAUCAAGUUACAUCCAUAAGCAAAAAGUUAAAAUAGUGAUUAUCGACUCUAACUUUCACAUAAAAAUUUAACAAUUUUUUAAAAAUAUAAACAAUAAAAUAAUAUGACAAUGUAAUAGGAUUAUAAAAUAAAUAGAUAUUUUAUUUAGGAGGAAUAUAGAAAAUCUUAUGUCCUAAGCUUCUAAAUUUGUUCAUAAUGAAUUUAUUUUUAUAUUAAAUUUGUUUUCAUUAAUUAUUUCUUAUAUAUUUUUAUUUUGUGUCUAGAAUAUCCAUAAAUAAUUGAAAUCGGUAAAUGUAAAAGAAGAAAUAAUGAAAAAAUAAAAUUAAAAAGAUUUCAUGAAGUCAACACAUUAGAAAAUAAGAACAGAAAGGUAGAGAUAUUACGAAGGAGAGGAAAAAGAAAAAAGAAAAAUCAUAUGACAUGGUUGUCAUAUUAAAGUAAAAAGAAAAAAAAAUAAAAUUUUGUAGUAAUUAACUGUGAAAGGAGAUCGAGGGUUACAGGGUAAUUUUAAAAUUUUGAUGAUUUCACUAUUGAAAUACAUGUUUCUAGAAUUAAUUUUUCCAAGAUGUAUGUACUUUAAAAUUUAAAAUUUAAAACUUUAAAUUUUUUAUAUUUUUUAGUUGUUGCAUGAAUAUUACAUCAUUCUCCAUGAAUAGAAUGUGAUAGGGCAUGGUUUUUAAAUCACUUUUAUAAUAAUUUUUUUAUAAUUAACAAGUUUGGCAAAAGAUAUUCUUAAAUGAUUUAAUUUAUAUUCAAUGCUAGUAGUCAUUUUAAUUGGAUAAACUUUUCAAAAGCAAAUUUGAAGAAUUUGGGUCAAAUGUAAUGUGCAUUUUUGUAGGGCCCUCCCAAUGGACCUCGUAAUGCCAAAACUUCUGGCCUUCAUGUUUUGUCAACUUGUUCACACAAUAAGCUCACGAGCUUUACCUUGCUUUAUCUUGUGAGACUUUGAUAUAUGCUUUGUUUGUAUUAAAGAGGUAAAAAAGUUCUUAACCACCAUUCCAUUUUGCACUAAAAAAAAAUUGAUAUAGACAUGCCAAUUGACUUUGUGUGUCAAAUAUUGUCAUGAUGCAUAUGAGAAAAUAAUGUGUCAUUUGACUCCUUUGAGUCAAAUCUUGCCUUUAAGUACAGAGAAAUAUUUGAGAAAUCGCAAGCAUUUUUUCUUUGUUGUUCAUUAAUAUAUGGAAUAGGUUGACCUUUGAAUUAGUCAAGGACAUGGUAGGUCUUUUGGUCUUAUUUUUACUCAAAUUUAUUUGACUCAAAACUGAAGUAGCAUUAAAAAUGAUACUUCAUGUGGUUGUAAAUUUACAUUUCCUAAGGGUUUUCUUCCCUAUUUGAACCAAAAAUUGAUUUUUAGGGUUAGAGGAACACCUCCCCUACAACAGUCAGACAAACUCCAUUGAGUUCCUCUUCCAUUCAAAGAGUGGGUGUGUUUGUUUCCCAAGAAAAUCUAACCCAUUUUAAGUUCAAAAUAAAUUUUUAUCAAAUUUUUCUUUAGAGCUUGGGUUGAUUCAUUUGGUUCUUCCAAAGAUGAGAACUUUUAACUCAAUGACCCAAUCAAAUUACAUGCAUAAUAACAUGAAAAUCUAGAAACUUAAGUAUUACCGUUUCUAAAUAUGACAACUUUUAAUUCAACAACCCAAUCAAAUAAUCAUGCAUAAUAACGAGAAAAAUCUAAAAACCUAAGAACUACCGUUUCCGAAGAUAUGGACUUUUAAUCUAAUAAACCCAUCAAAUAACAUGCAUAGUAACAAGAGAAUCUAAAACCCCUAAGAACUAACAUUGCCAAUUUAACCCAAUAACCCAAUCAACUAACAUGCAUAAUAACUAGAGAAUAUAAAAAAACCCUAAGAACUAAUCAUUGAAACAUGAAAAUUUUGAUAGUAUGGGAAUAACCUAUAAACCUUAAAAUUAUCAAACUUUGAAAAGUAAGAUUUUUAAUAAAAUAGCAUUCUAACACCAUGAAUGAUAACUAGAAAAUUUAAAACCGAACCAAAAUUUUCAAGAUAAGACUUCUAAGAAAAUAGCAUUUUGAUAACAUGAAUAGUAACUAGAAAAAUUAAAACCUAACCAAAAUGUUCAAGAUGAGACUUUCAAUGAAAUAGAAUUCUAAUAUCAUAAAAUAUGUUCCAAAAAAUUUAAAACCUAACCAAAUUUUUGUAUAACCAACUUUUCAAGAUGGGAAUUUUUAAUAAAGUAACAUUCUAAUAACAUAAGAAGUGUACUUGAAUAUGUCUAAGUAUGUUGUCCUAAAGGAGCACUUAAAAAGAAGCUAUUCUAAAAAGAGAAAAGGAAAAUCCUAGAUCUAACUUGGGGUUUCCAAGGGUCACAAUGAGGGGCUAGAUAAAUCCCUCAACUAGAGUCUUUGAGAUGGCUAAAAAAGGUAAGUUGUGUGAGUUGAAAAUGGGCCACCAGGGAGACUACUGCAAAGUAUGAAAAUAGCACUUAAUAGGGCAUGUGCUAACGUAACAAAUGGAAAGUCUACACUUGCAUGCUAGAUUUAUUCUAAGUUGUGCUCACAUCUAUUUUGCAAGGUUGUUUUAUUCAUCUCAUGGACCCUAAGGAUGAAUGAAUGAAAUGCUUUUAUUAAUUCAAUUGAAUGAAUGAAUAUGAAUGGAUAUGAUCUUUGCCAUUUGAUUCUCUAGUUUGGGUUGUGCACCCCAUGAGGGGUACAAGAUUUUUAUUUUAUUGUAAAAAUAUUUUCUUUUCAAUAGAUGGGUUGUAAGCUCCAUUAUAGGAGCAUAUAAUUUUAUUUUUUAUUUUUUUGAUUGUAAAUUUUUUUUUUUAUCCAUUUAUGGUGACCCAAAAGGAAAGGAAAAAUUCUUAAAUUUUCAUUUUUGAGAUCCUAUGGUGACUUAAGAAAAAAGAAAGAUUCUUGAAAGUUCUUGAUUUGAGAUCCUAAUUUGACUCAAAAUUGGGACAAAUCAUAUAUGGUUUUGAAGCUUAGGAAGUUAGGAAUCCAAUGCUUCAAACAAUUUUCUAUUCGGAGUUGAAAUGAGGAAGAUAUAGUCAAUUGAAGUAAGGUUGUACAAAGAGCAUACUAUUUCAGAAUUAAGUUCGGGCCAAAUUGUUUUUGGUUAUUUGGGCUUCUUUUUUAGCUUUUUUUUUUUUUUUUUUUUUUUUUGUGGAAAUUCGACAUUUUAGGGUUUUGUCAAUUUUUACUAACUAAUCUUUGGUUGUAAGAAUAUUUUGAUAAUUUGAAUUUUGUCCAAUUUUUAAUUACCAAAUAUGCAAUAGGAUCCCUAAAGUUCAUGAGAAAUAUUUAUUUAAUUAUUUCCUUGUUUUUAUUUUAUGUUAUCUUUAUUACUUGCUUAUGUGACCUAAAAUAGGAUAAUUUGGUAUUCUUAAUUAGAUAUAAAUUUUCAUGGGCUUUUUCAAAAUAGGAAAACUUAUUUAAAUUGGAAUGUGUAUUGUUAGGAAAUUUAUUUUAAGAAAAGAUAAGUUAGAAAAGAAUUAAGAGUUUCCAUUCCUUUUAAAAAUUAAUUCUUAAUGAUUUUAAUUUUAUUUAAAAUUUUCUUAGAUCUUUGAGAUCUCUAAGAAUAAAAUCUUUCUUUUAAUGAAAAAACUCUUGUUUUUCCAAAUCUUUAUAAAAUAAUAUUUUUCCUAUUUUGCACAAGGUUUUGAUUUAAAGAAAAUAAGUUGAUUUUGAAAAUUCAUAAUAGAUAAUUUAUAAUUAAGAAGGUUACCAAAAUAAGUAUUCAAACCUAAAGAAAAAUGUUUUGGUAUUCUCUAUAAAUUUUCAUGAAAAGAUUUUUCCAAGAUUAUAUAUUUGAAUUGGUUGUUGCUAAUGAGAAUCUUAUUCAUUUGGAACUAUCAUUUUGAUUUUGGUAUAGAUGCUUCUCCAAGCUACUACACCAUACCUAAGAUGGUCCUUCAGGCUCUCUCCUCCUGAGAUAAGGAGGAAACCCCUAUUUGGAUAUGGAUAGUUCAAAAAUAAAGACUAAGAGAGCAAUUUUGUUUAGCAAACGAGUCUUAGUUUAAAAGAUAAAUAACGGAUUUGAAAAACCUCAUGAUAAGAAGGGUUUUCAAUCUUGUAUGUAGAGGUGUCUAAUGGGUCGUGUUGGGCUGACAUGACCUAAUAUUGAUCGGGCCAUUAGGGGCCAAUGUGUCGGGUUGGGUCGACCCAUGCAAGCCAAAUAGGUGACUCGACACGGCCCAUAAGUCCAUGGGCUAAUCGUGUCAUGCUGGGUCGGGUCGUGCUGUGCCGGUGGGCCAUGGCCCAUGGGCCACUCACUUUGUUAAAAAUUUUAAUUUAAUUUUUUAAGUCAUUUUUUCUUAAGUUUUUUCCUUAUUAAAUAAAUUUUAUUUUUGUUACUUUAAACACCUCUAAUAAUUAUAUUUUUAUUUUAUUUUUUAUAUACUUCUAAUAAUUAUACUUUUUAUUUUUUACAUUUAUAUUUAUUGAGUUUGUAAUUGUAAAAUUUAUAGAAAUAUUAGUUUUUUGUUUUUAAAAAUAGUAAAAAAAAAUUACAUUUGAAUUUGUUUAUUUUAUUUUUAUCAAAAUAACAAUAAAUUUAAAAUAAUGGAAUAUAAAAGGAAAUGAAAUAUAAAAAAAUAAUUCUUUUAUUCAAUAUUUCAACAAAUUACAUGAAAAAAUAAUGAGAAAAAAAAAACAAAAGUGAGAAUUGCAUCACUAUAGUUUGAGUACAUCCCAACUAGGUUGGCACCCACCCAACUAUCAAUCAUAUGCAUUACUUAACCUUUAAAAAUUAACUACAUUUAAUAGAUUUAAAAGAAACGAACAACAUAUAAUUCUUCAAUUAUCAUAUUCACUUUUGUCUUCUUAUUCAAUCUUCAUUCUUAUUUUUUCAUCUUCAAUCAUCAUCAAUCUCUUGAACAUCAUUGUUUGCAUUGAGAUGCAAUUUCUUGAAGGCUUCUUUAAGUUCAUCCUCUAAAGUUUGACAUGAAAAAAGUAAAAAUAGUUAUUGAUUUACUUUUUUUACCCCUCAAACUAGUUGUAAUAUAAUUGUUAAGAGGGGUAUUAUAGACAUUUGACAUGUAAUAAAAAGUAAACACUAAAAGGUGAAAUUUAAAAGGGCCAAGUGGGUCGACACGGUGGGCCGACGGGUUGUUUCUUUAGGCCUAGCAUGGCCUGCUCCUUUGGGUCGUGUUGUCUUAGCUUGCUAUAGUGUUAGGCCAUACUGGCCUUGCCUGACCUUUUGGCGUGCCGAGCCACGGGCCAAAAUGGGCAGCCCGACCCAAUGACCCAGAUUUCAUUAUACAUUUGAAUGGUUUGAAUUGGAAGUUUGAUUUAGGACAAAAUCAAUAACCAUUAAAAAAAGAAAGAAUAUUGUAACACCGUUCAUACCUAUUGACUUUCGUUUUUAAUACUAUUGAAAAUUUUCACGAAUGAGAAGGCAACAAAGCAAGAAUUCUUAAGAUUCUAACUAUGCUACAGUCAUGAAAGAAGAAAAAGGGGGGAGAAGUAAUGUUUUUAUACUACAACCCACAAUCAUGAAAUAAGAAAAAAGAAAAUUCCAAAAAAUAUAGACCAAACAACAAGAACUUGCUUAGGCAUCUUCUAUACGUGAUCCUUUCUUGUCACUUGUUUUUUUUCCAUACUGGAAUGUAAAAUCCUACCAUGAGUGUUAAAAUAAGAUUGCCAUACUUAUUAACCAAUUAGUGAGUAAUUCCUACAAGUGAUAGUUUCUUAUAAUACACAUAUUUCUUGUUUACUUGAGCGCUAGUAGUAAUGAUCAUAAUUUUAAUAUAUUGAGAAUGUAAAAUUUUCUAGCAACAAAUAUAUUUAGCCCAUUGUAUUACAAAAAAGUACUAAAUGAAGAAAAAAAAUAGAGAUGGAAAGAAAUCUAAAUUCUCUUUAGUUCAAAGGUAUAAAAUAAAAUCAAAUAUAAUAAAAAAAUUCAAAAUUUUUCAAUCUUUAUGUAGAAUAGAAAAAAGAAGAAGAAAAAGGAUACUCUUGGUGAAACAUGUAAGAAAUGUUAAUUGAAUUUAAAUUUAUUUUUCAUUUUAUUAUUUUUUUAAAAACUUUUUAUUGUUUUAAAUUAAGAAAUAUACUAAAGACAUAGGUUUUAGUGAUUGCCAUAUGUUGGUAAUAAGCAGGGAAUGUCACUAAAAAAUACAAUAUAUUUUAAUUAAAUGUUACCAAGUAUUGUAUAAUGAAUGAGAGAUGAAUGUUCAAAGAACUCAACCCCUUUUUCUUUUUAGAAAAUCCAUUAGAAAAUUUUUCUUGAAGACUUGAAUAAGAUUUCCUUGGAAAGCAAACAACCUCCAAAAGAGGAAGGGAAUGAAGAGCUCACUCACCGAUUGUUGCUCUCUACAAGCUCUCUCCUCCUGAGAUAAGGAAGAAACCCCUAUUUGGAUAUGGAUAGUUCAAAGAUAAGGACUAAUUAGAAAACAAUUUUUUUAACACACGAGUCUUAGUUUAAAAAAUAAAUAACGGAUUUGAAAAAUCUCAUGAUAAGAAGGGUUUUCAAUCUUGUAUAUUUAUAUUGUCAUUCAAUGACUUAAAUUUCAUUAUACAUUUGAAUGGUCUGAAUUGAAAGUUUGAUGUAGGACAAAAUCAAUACCCAUUAAAAAAGGAAAGAAUAUCGUAACACCAUUCAUACCUAUUGACUCUCCUUUUUAAUACUAUUGAAAAUUUUCACAAAUGAGAAAGCAACAAAGCAAGGAUUCCUAAGAUUCUAACUAUGCUACAAUCAUGAAAGAAGAACAAAGAAAAUUCCAAAAAUAUAGACCAAACAACAAGAACUUGCUUGGGCAUCUUCAGUAAGUGAUCAUUUCUUGUCACUUGUUUUUUUCCAUAUUGGAAUGUAAAAUCCUACCAUGAGUGUUAAGAUAAGAUUGCCAUAAAAGAAAUUAUCAAAUAUGACAAUAUUUUUUCUAAUUUUCAAAGAAUUAUCAAAUAUGACACUAAAUUUUCAAAAUAACACUAAAUUUCUUUCUAUUUUGGAUUUAAAAGUGAGUAGUAAAACUAAAAUUAUCAAAUAUGACAAUAUUUUUUCUAUUUUUCAAAGAAUUUCGAAAGCAUUAUAUUUAAUUAAAAACACUUGGCUGAUAAAUAAAUAAACUGAAAACAUGGGAAUUCUGGAGAGCUACGAAACGGAGAUAAGAAUAUAAUUAAGGAAAAUGAAAGUGAAAGCCAAGGAAUGAGCAUCAUCACCUCCUAGAAGUAUCUAACCCACCUCGCUGAAGUUUGCUAUAAAUACCUAACAAUUUCCCUUGAGUUCAUCAAUGCUUGAGUUUGAAUCUUAUCAAUCACAGUAGUAGCAAUGGCAGACGAGAUUAUCUUGUUGGAUUUCUGGCCUAGCCCGUUUGGUAUGAGGGUCAGAGUUGCCCUGGCAGAGAAGGGUCUCAAGUAUGAAUAUAGAGAGGAGGACCCGAGGAACAAGAACCCUCUGCUUCUUGAGAUGAACCCCGUUCAUAAGAAAAUCCCAGUUCUGAUCCACAAUGGAAAGCCCAUUUGUGAGUCUAUGAUAAUAGUUCAGUAUAUUGAUGAGGUUUGGAACAAAAAAUCUCCGUUGUUGCCUAGUGACCCAUACCAGAGAGCUCAGGCCAGGUUCUGGGCGGACUACAUAGACAAGAAGGUAUGCCUUUUCUGUUGAUUUAAAGCAUUCUUUUCCAUUGAUUCAUGGCGAUUGACUCACAUUUUGAUUAUGGUGAGGGAUUUAUCCAAAAUGCUAGUUCUUCACAUAUUCUCUUCUGAUAUUGAGUUUUGUUGGCUUUGGUGUCCCAAACUAGAACUUUACUGAUUCUCUUGCUGUUUCUUCAACAAGACUCCCCUCUGCAUUUCUGAUAUGGGUUUUUAUUUCUUUGUUCUGUUGAAUCCGACGUCUGUUCGUUCCAUCCAAAAAAGCAGAUCUCAAGAAUACCUUUUCCCCCAAGAAAGGGAAUACAUAAACCAGAAUUUUAAAGAACAGAUUUUGGUUUUUCGUUAUCCUGCUGUUCAACAUUUUGCACAACAGUUGUUUUAAUAUAUGUUCUGUCUUUUUGAUCUCUUUCUUCUCAUUUCUUUAACACAAAUUGAGGGGAAAAACUUUAGCAAAUGAUACAUUCUUUCAACUGAUUCUGAUAUUUUUCCUAGGAUACGAGAUUUCUAUGCCGAAGGGUCGUUAAUAAACUUGCCCAACUAUACAGAAAGUUUGAAACUUGAUGAAAUGCUUCCAAAAGAAAAAAAAAAAACCCUUUUCUCUCUUUGACUCCAUUACUUUCCACAGCUCUAUGAACUUGGAAGGAGGAUAUGGUCAACCAAAGGAGAAGAGCAGGAAACAGCCAAGAAUGAAUUCAUAGAGUACCUUAAGAUUUUGGAAGGAGAGCUUGGAGAGAAGCCUUACUUCGGUGGUGAGAAAUUUGGGUUUGUGGAUGUGGCUCUGGUGACUUUCUCAACCUUGUUUUAUGCGUAUGAGAGCUUUGGUAACUUCAGCAUAGAGGUGGAGUGCCCCAAGUUGAUCGCUUGGACCAAGAGGUGCAUGGAAAAGGAGAGUGUGUCGUCUUCUCUGAAAGACCCACAGAAGGUCCAUGGCUUUGUCAUGGAGAUGAGGAAGAAGCUUGGUAUAGAGUAAAAGGGGAACAUCAUGUGUGGGGGUCUUUCCAUCGAAGACCCACACAAGGUCCAUGACUUUGUCUUGUGGAUGAGAAAGAAGUUCCGUGUAGAAUAAAAGGGCUUUUGAAUCGUGUUGUAUUGGUAAUAUGAGAGGAGUGUUUGCUUUAAGUAUGCUUUGAAGGGGCUGGAAAGAAAUGUUUACAAUUUGUUUUCUUUUGUUUUGGACUAGAGACGUGUUCUUGUAUUGAAGAAAUAAAAGAGUUUUUAACUACAUUCCAUUGUAUCAUGUCACAUAAACAAGCAUUAAAAUAAGUUGGAUAAGACAUGCCACAAAGUUGAUCAGAUGCGUAGUCUAUAAAGA